UUGGGGCAUAGGGGUAGGGUGAUUGAGAUGUUGGGGAAGGAGUGUUUGGAGGUGACGGAAUGUAGGGAGGUUGGGAAAUGGGAGAAGGAGUGGUGGAUGGUGGUGUGGAAAUGUAAGAAGGUGGCUGGGAUAUUGGGGAAGGAGUGGUGGAUGGUGGUGUGGAAAUGUAAGGUGGCUGGGAUAUUGGGGAAGGAGUGGUGUUUGGAGGUGAUGGGAUGUAAGGAGGCUGAGAUAUUGGGGAAGGAGUGUUUGGAGGUGAUGGGGUGUAAGGAGGCUGGGAAGUAGGAGAAGGAGUAUUGGGUUGUGGAGGCACAUAAGGUGACUGAGAAAAGGGUGAUGGGGUUAUUGGAACAAAGGGUGGUUGAUGAUGAGGGGAAGGGGUGUUUGGAGGUAGAGGAGCAUGGGGUGGAUGGUUAUUAGGGGAAGGAGCAUAAGUGGGAGAAGGUGUGUUGGGAGGUAUGGGAGCAUAGGGUGGUUGAGCUUUGGGAGGAAAGGGAAGAUUAGUAGGAGGUGAAGGUGCUUCUGGAGGAGUAUAAACAGGGGGAGGAGUUUGAUGAGGUGGAUAAGGAGCUUUUGGAGGAGAAUAUGGAGGAGGCUCUCUCACAGCCAACACCACAAUAAUAAGUUUCUGACCCUUCUCACAAUUAUAAUCUUUUCCACUGAUGAAAUAAAAGGGACCCGAACGAUCAAACUGAAACUGGGAGGCACCAUCCUCAAACUUCUUGAUCGGGUUCUUCUUGUUACAUUUCUCAUAAUCCUCUUUGUUCACCACCAAAACCGAGUCCGAUCCCUUCUUGUACUUAAAAACUAUGAACAGGAAAAAACAUACAAGUUAAAAGCAUUCAUUCAGAAGGCAGAAAAAAAACUGGAAAGCUUUAGAAUGAAAAUGAACUGACCAAGAGUGUCACUGACUUGGAACCUCAUCCUUUCAGCCCAGUGAUUGUAAUUCUCAGAAGGGUACAAAAGCCACCCAUCUUUUCCACCAACGUUGAAGGUGUAUGCCUGAGACCCCGAGAGGAGACUGAAAAGAAACGACAAGAGACAAAAAACACUAAUCCGAAGCUCCAUGUUGCAGAGAGAGAGAGGAGAGAGAGAAGGAAGAGAGGUGUAGAAAGAAGUGAUGAAAUGGAUUGAUAUAAAGAAAGUGUUGUCCUUGGUUACCGUUGUUGGGGUGCUUGUAGUGUAGGACCAGCGAAGCGUGUUAAACGCGGUGGGGGGGUUUACGUGGGAAGACUAAGACUUACAUGUGGGCAAAUGAUAGAGAAAGAGAAAUUAAAGUUUGAGAAAGUUUGUUUAAUAUAAUAAUAUAUAAUAUGCAGCUACGUGCCACACUUCCCAGCACUGCCAUCUAUCACCAUUCGGACUCAUUUUAUUUUGAAAUUUCCAACCUCACCGAUGCUAUAUGCUUUCUACACAUUAAAAUGUUUCAAAAACAAUAAUAAUAGAAAGAAAACCAAAUCACGGAACUCUAUUGUUUCUGGUAUAUCCAUAUGCUACACUAUUCCGAUUCUCAUUUCAGACCCAUUAAUAAUUCUGCUAUUCCAUGCUUAGAUUGUUCCAAAUCAUAUACUGUAUCAAACAGAGACAGGGACAAAUUUUAAUAGGUUCUUGCUGAUUAACAAAUAUUAAAUUGUUCUCUAUCUUUUGUUCACAUAUAACCUGUGAAGAAUAAAUAGACGGAUUUUAAUUUUUUUCAUAAAGAUUAAAUAUGAAAAUGGUGUGUGUCUGCUUUGAGAGAGAUUAGCAACUAUUGGAAGAGCAUUUGGAUCGUCAAUCUACAGUUAUGCCUUUGGUCCACAAUGACUAUAAUAAAAUUUGAUUUAUUUAAGAAAGAGUAAACGAUAAUUAAGUUUCCAAAGAAAUUAAAUAUUAUUUUAAUUUCACUGUAUUUUAUUAUUAAGUUUUACAAAAUUAUUUUAUUAAUAAAAAAUAUCUUAAAGACCAAUUCCACAUGAACUUAGAUAUUAUUUUAUCAUAAAACUACAGUUUUCUGGAUCAAUUUGAAAAAGUAAUAAAAAUUUAUACUUUUUCAAUAAUUUUAGGUAUAAGUAUCUUGUCAUAUCAGUUAGAAAUGUUAGAAAUGGUCAUGAAAAAAAUAUUAUUAAAAAAAUAUAAAAUAUUAAGUUGAACGUUUAAAUAUGUUUUUUUUAUGUAUUUUUACUUAAAAAUAGCUUCUUUUUAGUUUAAAUUUUUAGAAUUUUUAGUUAUUUGUAAUAAGGGGACUAGAAUAAGUUUUUAUUAAUAUUUUUUUAUAUAAUAAUAAGUUAGUAUGAAAAUAUUUUAUCAUUCUGAUACAUAUUAAAAAUCUAUUCUGAUACGUAUUAAAAACCGGUUUAUCAUGUAGAAAAAAAUAUGAUAAAAGAUUAAUUUCAAUAGUUUCUUUAUUAUAAUAGUCUAAAAUUUAGAAUAGAAAAUAAAAAUUUCUGUGAAAUAAAAGUACAUUUAAUCCUUAAAUUUAUAAAGUUUUUAAUUAAUAAAAUAUAAUUUUAAAAUUAGUUUUUAUUAUUUAAAAUUAAAGGCAAAAUUAGUCAUUUACUAGUUAAGAAAUAAACCUCUAGUCGUCAUCCUUUGUUUUUUUUUUAGUCAAAACGUAUGCUUUGUUUUGCUUUUUCAUAGACUGUUUGGUACGUGAAAUUGACUACCCAGUUAGGAGUUAAUCAUCACAUCCACUUUACAUCAUGUUUUGCUUUUAUUAACAUUUUUAUUAAGUGAUUAGGUUUUUUCAUUAGAUUAGAUGACAAGUGUAAAGUAUUUAAAAUUUGUAUGAAUAACUAAUUUCUAUCAUUUACCCACUUUUAGAAUUUUAGUAGAAUAUACAAGUAUUACUUAAUAAAAAUAUUUUAUAUUAAAAAAAAUCUAUAGUUUUAAAAAUUGGAUUCCUUUUAUAAGAAAACAUUAAAGCCAAACACACCUUAAUUAUUACAUUUUGUGGAUGAAUGUUGACCUAUUUAAAAUUUGUAUGAAUAACUAAUUUCUAUCAUUUACCCACUUUUAGAAUUUUAGUAGAAUAUACGAGUAUUACUUAAUAAAAUUAUUUUAUAUUAAAAAAAAUUCUACAGUUUUAAAAAUUGGAUUCCUUUUAUAAGAAAACAUUAAAGCCAAACACACCUAAUUAUUUCAUUUUGUGGAUGAAUGUUGACCUAUUUAAAAUUUGUAUUAAUAACUAAUUUCUAUCAUAUACCCACUUUUAGAAUUUUAGUAGAAUAUACGAGUAUUACUUACUUAAACUAUUUUAUAUUAAAAAAAAGUCUAUAGUUUUAAAAAUUGAAUUUCUUUUAUAAGAAAACAUUAAAGCCAAACACACCUUAAUUAUUACAUUGUGUGGAUAAAUGUUGACCUAUUUAAAAUUUGUAUUAAUAACUAAUUUCUAUCAUAUACCCACUUUUAGAAUUUUAGCAGAAUAUGCGAGUAUUACUUAAUUAAAUUAUUUUAUAUUAAAAAAUAGUUAUAGUUUUAAAAAUUGGAUUCCUUUUAUAAGAAAAUAUUAAAGCCAAACUCACCUUAAUUAUUACAUUUUGUGGAUGAUUGUUGACCUAGAGAAAGCCAUUAGAAUCCCAUCUAAUCUUGUACUUGGAAUUUAUUGGUGAAGAGUAGAAAUUUCCGAUAUCUGAAUAACAUUAUUGUUUGGUACAAUAACGUUACCAUAUUUUAAAUUAGUAUAUAUGAUGGGACAUGAACACUUAUUUCCUCUAAAAUCUUUAUUUUAAAAAAUCUCCAAGUAAAUUACUAAAAUGACAUCAUUUUUCAUUGAAACUCAAAUAUGCCUUUCAAAUAUCAUUCACAUUUUGUUCCUAUCUUAAAUAAUCUUUUCCAUUUAUACAAUGUGUGAUAUCACUCACUUAUCUUAUUUAAUUAACAUCUAGGUACUUAAUAGUAUACUACUAAUUAAAACGCGUCACUUUACCGUUAGUAUUUAAUAUUAGGUUAUAGGCAUGCUAAGAAUGAUUAUAAGUGUAUUAUUAAUAUUAACUCUCCCUCCCUAAUAUGGCUGUAUCAUUUCUUCCUCUCAUUGAUUGUUUAUUCAAUAUCAAUCUUGUACUCUCUUUUCUUAUAUUUUUUAGUAAAAAUAAACAUAAAACAUUUAUUUUAAUUGUCACAAAUUUGUGUAUUUUAAAAUGAGUUAUAUAGUAAUGCAUUCACAUUAUACAAUAAUUUUAUUUUAUCAUAUAAUAUUAAAUAAAUAAUAACUCUUAAUAAUUUCUAAAAUAGAUAUUGAUAAUUUCAUUUUAUCAUAAAAUGGUUGUUUAUAGUGAUUUACUAUUCACAGACAACCGAGAAUAUGGGGUAAAAUGGGAGAAUGAAGGGAAGGUCAAGAAAAAUUAGUUAAUGUGAUUUUUUCAAUUUUACCAUUUUUUUAUAUAUUAAUUAUUACAUAAAUUUAAUUAACAUUAAUAUUUUAAUAAAAUAAUAAUAAUUAAUAAAAUUUGAUGGAGGUGUGCCUUCAUCCGUAGCUUUUCUUUGGUGGAAUUGGCGGAAACAUUCAUGGAAGAAGACGAGCAAGGAACUCAUGAAGAGUGGUGGACUCCUUGAAGGUGCAUGCUAGGUGUGGAGAGUGAGUGGUGAGGCCAUCUCACUUGGCAAAGAUGAAGAAUGAAGAUUAAAAUGUCUAUCCUAGAGAGGUAGGAGACAAGAAGCAAAAUUGGCACAAUUUUGGCAGCAAUUUGCUCGAGAAUAAUCUUGCUAUUUCAUGACCCAAACACCUCCUUAUAUAGGAUUGGAGGGUCAGAAUUGGAAGAGUCAAAUACAAAUGAAAUACAAACUAAAUAAAAUGUGAUGCAUUUGGCGCCUAAUUUGAGACUUAGCACAUGGAGCAUGUGAUGGAAAGCUUUUAAGCACAUGGAACAUGUGCUUUCUUCUCCAAGGCUUAGUCAUAACCGACCUUGGUUAAUUUAGGUGUUCAAAGAACCCUAAUUUAACCAAGGUUGGUUUUUAGGUACCAAAUUUCACCUAAAAAGAAAUUACAAGUAAAAUUUCCUAUUUUACUUUAACAAAAUUAAAUCCUACUUCUUACACUAGAGUUUAUGGCAUUUUAAACACGUACAAGAAGGUUUCUCUGCCAUCAGUAGCAGUAUUUCAAUCAUUUUGAUCCUUCUUGGCCAUGACUCUAGUGGUAGGCCCAAAUCUUCUCUUUGUUGGGCUUGCACUUGGACUUGUCCUUGGGCCUCUUCCAUCAUCCCCUCCCUCUUGAAAAGGAUUUGUCCUCAAAUCCAAUGCUUCUAUUUCUUCUUCUUCAUUACUUCCUACAAAAGGCAUUAAGUCCACAACAUUAAAAGUAUGAUGAACUCCAUAUUCUUUUGGUAAAUCAAGAAUAUAUGCAUUGUUGUUGAUUCUUUUGAGGACUUGGAAGGGUUCGUCACCUUGGGGACUAAGUUUGGACUUCCUCUUAGUUGGAAAUCUAUCUUUCCUAAGAUGAAACCAAAUUAAAUCUCCUUCUUCAAAAAUUAUCUCUCUCUUCCCCUUAUUGUUAUGUUUUGUAUAUUUCUCAGUUUGCUGAUGUAUUUGUUCUUUAACCCUCUCAUGCAUUUUCUUAACAAAUUCAGCUUUUAUUACUCAUUCCUUAUGCACAAAUUCUUGUGGAUUAGGAAGGGGCAACAAAUCUAAAGGAGUAAGAGGAUUAAAUCCAUAAACAACCUCAAAUGGAGAAAUAUUAGUAGUUUUAUUAACUACUCUAUUGUAUGCAAACUCAAUAUGAGAAAGAUACUCAUCCCAAGAUUUAUGGUUGCCUUUCAUGACUGCCCUAAGCAUAGUACCAAGAGAUCGAUUUACAACUUCGGUUUGUCCAUCCGUUUGAGGAUGACAAGAAGUUGAAAAUUCAAUUUGGUUUCAAGUCUUGCCCAAAGGGUUCUCCAAAAAUGGCUUAUAAAUUUUGGAUAUCUAUCGGAGACUAUGCUUCUAGGUAGUCCAUGAAGUCUUACCACAUCUCUAAAGAAAAGUCUAGAGAUAUUAUUUGCAUCAUCCACUUUGUGACAUGGUAUAAAAUGUGCCAUUUUACUAAAACGAUCCACAACCACAAAAAUGGAAUCAGAACCUCUUGCAGUCUUAGGAAGUCCAAGAAUAAAAUCCAUACUAAUGUCUUCCCAUGGAGCACUUGCAAAAGGUAAAGGAGUAUAGAGUCCAUGAGGAAUUGUUUUAGACUUAUCUUUUAAACAUGAUAUACAUCUAAAACAAUGUCUUUGGACGUCUCUUAUCAUAUGUGGCCAAAAGAAUUUUCCUUUUAAAAGCUCUAGAGUCUUAUCAACUCCAAAAUGGCCCAUGAGACCUCCUUCAUGAGAUUCUUUUACAAGAAGUUUUCUAUGUGUUCCUUGAGGUAUACAAAGUUUUCCUUCUUUAAAAAGAUACCCCUCAGACACAAAAUCCUCCUUUUUCUCUAUGUUCUCAUUUAACAAAGAUGGAUGUAAAAUCAUGAUCUUCUUUGUAGAGUUCAAUUAUGUUUUCAAAUCCAAGAAUUUGGGCUCCAAGUUUUGAAAACAGGGCAUGUCUCCUUGAGAGAGCAUCGACCAUAAUGUUUGUACUACCCUUCUUGUAUUUGAUAACAUAAGGAAAUUGUUCAAGAAGUUUCAUCCAUUUUGCAUGUCGUUUGUUCAACUUAUGUUGACCUUUCAAAUAUUUUAAAGGCUCAUGAUCACUAUGAAUGACAAAUUCUUUAGAGACUAGAUAGUGCUCCCAAGUCUUUAAGGUCCUCACAAGUGCAUAAAGCUCUUUAUCAUAGGUGGGGUAGUUGAGAGUGGCUCCAUGAAUUUUUUCGCUAAAGUAAGCAAUUGGAUGUCCACCUUGCAACAACACGACACCUAUGCCUACUCCCGAUGCAUCACACUCUAGCUCAAAAGUUUUUGCAAAAUUUGGUAAAGAUAGAAUGGGUGCAUUAGUGAGUUGAGCUUUUAGCCUCUUGAAGGCUUGAUCUUGCUUCUCGGUCGAACAAAAUGGAGUGUCUUUCUUCACUAACUCAUUGAGUGGCUGAUGUAACCCAAAAAUACAUAAAGAUGACCAAGGAUGUUAUACUUGAAGGGUCAUCUAAAUAAGGAAAUAAGAACUUCAUCAAUAGAAGAAAUGGACGAGGCCCAAAGCAUUUAAAGUUCUUCUUAUUGUCUUCUCAAAAGAUGAGGCCCAAGCCCAAUUAAUAUCUUUUGUAAUAUUUUUAGAAUAGUUUCAAGAUAGAACAUUAAAAGGGAAGUAAUAGGAAAAGUCACUUUUCUAGAAUGAGGAAGUGACUUGAAAAAGGGUGGCAUUUACCUUGUCUUUUCAUAUGCCUUGCCUUUUCAUUUACAAGUGACUCUUCAUGUAUUUUUACCUUUUCAUGACCGGUUCUCUAUGCCUAUAUAAAGAGGAGCCUUGCUUUUGUAAACACAAGUUGAAUCUUUUAGUAAAGAAAGUAUACCAAAUUGGUGUGAGAGAGUUUGUGAGACUAGUUCUCCUCUCUUCUUCCUAGUCUUAUCUUGGGAGAUUCUUGGAACUCUCAAGUGGCGGCAUCCACUCAUCUUGAAGCUUCUCCACCCUUCAAGUGGCGUGAACAUUCCAAGGGUCAUCAACCACAUAAGUUUCUUCUACCUUUUCAUGUUCUUCUUCCAUUUCCAUGUCAAUCAAAACUAUAAAACAUGUGUCUUUGUUGUUCUUGAUGUUUCAAGCAGUAGAAAUGUGUUAGGUUCUGCUUUUAAUUGGUUCAUUGUAAUUUCUCGCUGUUGUAUUCGGUUUAUAUGUGCUUAAUUGAUAUUUCAAUCGGUGCAUUUGUCUCCUUUUCACAAAUCAAUCGGUUCAUGUUCUUCUUAUGGGUUUCUAUGCGGUUUUGGCUUGGUUUUUGUGUUCUUGAAUGAUUAUAGAAUCUUGAUCCAAUUCUUGAAAAUGUCUUUUCAUAUACCAACUCAUAUCAGUGGUGAAGCUAGACUUGAGAAGUUAGGCACAAAUCUUCUAUAAAAGCUUGCUAAUCCAUGAAAACUUCUAACUUCCCCUACAUUUUGUGGAAUUGGCCAUUCUUGGAUGGCUUUGAUUUUUUCGGGGUCAACAUGUACCCCAUUUUUGUUAACUAUAAAUCCUAAAAAUACUACACUAUCAACACAAAAAGUACAUUUAUCUCUAUUAGCAAACAAACUAUUAUUCUUAAGCACUAGGAGAACUUCCCUAAAGCGACUUAGGUGAGAUUCUAAACUUUUGCUAUAUACUAAAAUAUCAUCAAACUAAACUACUACAUAUUUACCUACACAAUCCCUUAAGACAUGAUUCAUUAGCCUCAUGAGAGUGCUAGGAGCAUUAGUGAGCUCAAAAGGCAUCACUAACCAUUCAUAUAGUCCAAAUUUGGUUUUAAAAGCGAUUUCCCACUCAUCACCUUCUUUAAUUCUAAUUUGGUGAUAUCCACUUCUAAGAUCAAUUUUAGAAAAUAUGAUGGACCCAUGCAAUUCAUCAAGCAUGUCAUCUAGUCUUGGAAUUGGAUGCCUAUACUUGAUGGUGAUGUUAUUGAUGGCUCUACAAUCACAACACAUUCUCCACUUGCCAUCUUUUUUGGGCACCAACAAGACAGGUACAACACAAGGGCUUAGGAUCUUUUGAACCCAACCCUUAUCCAACAAAUCAUGCACUUGUGAUUCUGUCUCCUUAGUUUCUUCAGAAUUAGUUCUAUAGGCUGGUCUAUUUGGUAGACUAGCUCCUGGAACUAAAUUUAUUUGAUGUUCAAUUCCUCUAAAAGGGGGAAGUCCACUAGAGCCUUCCUUAGAGAAUAUGUCAUCAAAGUCUUUUAAAAGAUCUUUUACUUGAGGAGGUAGAACACAUGUCUCAGUAAGCGUAGCAAUGCAGGUAAGUGUUCCUUUACAAAGUAGGAGGUUUGAAGGUUCUUCAAAAAGAAGUAUUUUUUCGAUCUUAUUUUCAAAUUUUUCUUCUUCUUUCUGAAUGACCUUGUGGGAAGGAACACUCUUUUCCCAUGCCUCUUUUUCCCUAAGGGUUUUUUCUUGGUUUUUUACUCUAUUUUUCUCUUCCUCUCUUUGUUUUCUCAUUUGUAGUUGGUCCUUUAUCACUUGGGAAAAUGAUAAGGGAUAAAGUACAAACUUCUUUUCUUUGUGAGUGAAAGUAAUCUCAUUGGUAAGACCAUUGUGGUUUUCUUAUCAAAUUGCCAAGGUCUUCCCAACAAAAUAUGACAAGCUUUCAUGGGCACUACAUCACACAAAACUUUAUCCUUAUAGUUCCCCACAGAAAACUCGACUUUCACUUGUUGAUCUACAGUUAAAUCCCCAUCUUCAUUGAUCCAUUGAAGUUUGUAAGGUUUUGGAUGAGGGAUUAACUGUAGAUUCAACUUUUCAACCAUCCUAGCGCUACAACAAUUGCAGCAAGAACCACUAUCCACAAUGAGAGAGCACACAUUUUCAAAAACUUUACACCUUGUGUGAAAUAUGUUCUCCCUUUGUGUCUCUUGGCUCAUACUAGGUUGAUUGUUGAGGGUUCUACGGAUCAUCAUUAAUUCACCCUCACAUGGAUAAGCCCCUUCAUUAUCUUUUUUUUCUUCUUCCCCACUAGCUUCAUUACUUUAGCUGCUAUAUACUGUUGGGUCUAUUAGUGUCUAAGUUCAAGAGGGGAGGGGUGAAUUGAGAUUAUAAAAUUUUCGCAAGACCACACAAUUUUUCAGUAUUCCAGAGGCAAAAAGAACAGAUUGUUUUUACAUGAAACAGAUUGAUUCUUCAGAGCAGUCUUGGCACAAUUUGAAUUUGUUCAAUGUAAAAUUGUGAUCAACAGAGAAUUAUAACAAAAUCAGAUCAGUUUAAUAUUGUGAGGAUGAAGGAUACAGUUAUGCUUAGAAAUCAAGCAAAAUUACUCAACACAAGGUUUUGAGAGGAAUGAUCCUUUCUCAGGUUUUAAUGAAUGGACAGUUUGUUCACAAAUCACUUAAACCAUUAUAUACAGCAGCCUUGUUUAUGAUCAGAGAACUUUAACAAAUCAGGAAGAACAAUUUUCACUUAAACCCAGAAUUAACAGAUUCAAUUUCAAAAGAACAGAUUUAGUUCUUGACAGAAUUAAACAAAAAAAAAAACAGAAAUGAGUGCAGGGACGAGAAGACAAGGCACACAAGUUUUUAUACUGGUUCACUCAUACAGAGCUACAUCCAGUCUCACCUUACCCCAAGGUGGAAUUCACUAAAAAUAGUACCAAUCACUUACAAACACAGCAGUUCUUGAACACUACAAGAACAACACACACAAUGCUGAAAAACCCUAUUUCAGCACACCUUGCACUCCAAGAAACCCUAUCAAGGAGUGACUAACACUUACACCUUUACAAAACAGAAUAAAGGAAAGAUUACACCUGAAAAGAAGAUGCAAGAACCCAAAACCAGUAGUUCAAUUUGCUGCAGAACUGCACCAACACCUUCACCAAGAUCAAAGGUUUCCUAGAACAAGCACACUUGAAAAUCUCUUUGGAAAACCUUUCAAAAAUCUUUCAAUCCUUCUUCUCACAUGGAAAGUGUUUGAUCUCUGUCAAAAACGUAAUUGCUCAGCCCUACUUUCAUGUGAGAGAGACUUUUCUUUAUAUAGAAAACAGUUUCUAACUUCUUUUCAAAAAAAUAGUUGAAAAGCAGUUAUGAAAACAACAGAUUCAUUUUUGAACUUAACAGAUUUAUUUUGUGAAAACCGCCAACUCAACUAACUGAAAUAACUGUCUGAGUUGUAUCUUUGGUGCCCUAACUAACUUGUGAAAAACCUUUCAACUCACCAAAGAAUAAACCUGUUCUUUCUCAGUGAAACAGAUUAAAAUAUAGCAAACAGGCCAGCUCAACUUUAACUGAAAUAACUGUCUAAGCUUUACCUGUGGUGCCCUAACAGAAUUUUAGAAAAGCCUUUUAACAGAGAAGAAAUAAACAGAUUCUUUCUCCAUAAAACAGAUUUAUUUGUGUACUGUUUUAAAGCUGUUAAAAACAUUUUAAAAAGCUUUUCAAAAACCAUUUAACCACAUCAUGUGCUUGAUCUAGACUUGGUUAGGCAUCUAGGAUGGGUUAUUCAGCAAAAGGCAACCUUACACAAUUACAAGCCUAAUUAUAACCGAAUCUAAAACCUAUUACAAUCUUCAAAGCACUCAAGUUAUUUUCUUCAUCAAACACACAUCAAGCCUUGGUAGGGAAGAAGCUUCCUCCAACUUCAACAUAUACAUCCUUACCCCUUUAAGAAUAUAGUUCUCCUAUUUUGGCAUUGGGAAGCUAUAUGACCUCUUCCAAAGCAUUUAAAACAUUUUUUUAUCUCGGCUACGGGAUUGUGGGGUUAUCACUUCUUUAUCUAUAUUUUUGGGAGUUUCCUUAGAUCUUUCCUUUGAAGUUUCCUCCCUUUUAUACUCUCUCUUGGGAUAGGAGUUAGAAUAUGAACCUUCCCUACGACUUGAAGCUUUUCUUAAGUUUUGUUGUUCAACUUUGAUACAGAGUUGAAUUAAAUCAUUCAAGUGUCUAUAUGGUAAAAGUUAAACUCUAUCUCUAAUCUCAAGAUUGAGUCCACUCAAAAACCUUGCUAUGGUAGUGGUUUUAGACUCCCUAAUUGAGGCUCUCAUCAUGUAUAAUUCCAUUGUUUUGCCUAUAUUCCUCUACACUCAUAGUCUUUUGUUGGAGUCUUUGGAGUUUGUCCAUUAACUCCCUAUUAUAAUAGGAGGGAAUAUGGCGGCGUCUUAAGGCUCGUUUUAGUUAGUGAUCUCGGCUCAGCUAGUCCUUUCUUUCGUGAUGAACUGUUGGCUCCCCUAAGAUCAUUCUAAUACUCUAUGGGAGGGUUCUUAUGAAGGUGCCUAUCUUGCUCAAGGGCAGUCCACCAAUACAUAGCAUUACCUUGAAAGCUUAGGGUGGCUAGGGGUACUUUUCGUUCCUCACUCACUCUAUGGGAAACAAACAAUUAUUCUACCUUCAUUUCCCAAUUUAAGUAAGUUUCUACGUUUUCCAUGGAAAUAAGGUAGAUCUACCCUAACCUCCUUUUCUUGUCUUUCUCUUCUAGCUCUCCUAGGGGGUGGUUGAUAAUAGUAAUUAAUCUAAUAUUUUGUUCCCCAAAAGAUUCAUCUCCCCUAGAGCUAGAUGCAUGAGAACUUUUUUUUGAUUUAUUGUUUUCAUCCCUUUCUUUAGCCAAUUUCAAUUCUUUGAGUUGGGACUCAUUUUGCAAUUGUUUAUAUGAAAGUGAUUGAAAGUCUUGUGCUAAUUGUUUCAAAAGAGUUUUAAUAGACUCUCUAUCACUUUCACUAGAAUGAUAAGAAUGAGAAGUCAUGGUUAAAGUUAUGUGUUAAAAGCAAUUUACUAAAAGAAAUAUAGGUGGAGUAAUGUAGGUAGAUUCCCAAGAAAGGGAGGUGGAUCACUUAAGUACCAAGCCUUUCCUUGCCAGAUUCUAUCCUUCAAGACUUUCACAAACCUUUUUCUAAGUAAUUCACUUAGAACACAAUCAAGAAUGAAAACAAUUUUAAGAAAAACAAUGCAAAGCAAUUAAACAAAGCAAAACAAUUAAACAAAACAAAGUAAUUAGAUAAUACAAUUUGAAAAGAAUUGCUAUCUAGUAAGAUUUAAACUAGGCGUAUCCUAAGGUGAGGCUUCUAGGCACUUAGAACCAUUGAAGACACAUUCACCGUCUAUUACGCAAUACAAAGCAAUUAAACACUUAAUAGAAAAAUUUCUAUCUAGAAAGCUUGUAAACUAGACGUUUCCUAGGGCGAGGCUUCUUGGCACUUUGAACCUUUGAAGACACUCUCACCAUAUAAUACGCAAUUAGUCCACCAAUUAUUCAAGAUUUUGCAAGUUACAACUCAAAGAAAAUACAAAGCAAAUUGAAUUGACAAAAAUUUAGAAAUUUUUAUUCUAUGCAAUUCUUCUUUUCUUUUUGUCAUUCCUUCUUUGUGUAAGUGUUUAAACUCACUUGUUGCUGCUCUCUUGCUCAACCUCUCAAGGAUAUUUAACUUUAAAAAUUCAAAACAGCACCUACUAAGUGAUAAAGCUCUCACAAAAAAUGUUAGCUCCAAACUUAACAAGCACCUUUGAAUGAUUUAUCCACCAAGAAAUGAGGUUAACAAAAGUUAAAGCAACAAAAAUUCAAUUUGAAAUUGGAAAACAACAAAGGGAGUUGAUGUAUGACAACUUGAAAGAGUAAUUGAAAAAAUAUUGACAAGCAAACAAAAUAAGGUACUCAACAAAUGGAUAUCACACAAAUUGAACCUAGAGAAUGACACUAGAAUUGGAUUAACAAAAAUCAAAACAAUACUACAUAAUAUUAAGGUGUCAAAAAGCGUGACUUACUUGAUUUAUGUUGAGCAAAUUAUUUCAAAUUUGAAUUUGAAUUUUUAACCACAAAUAGAUCAAGAUAUUAACUAACUUUUGGCGUUGGAAUCACCAAUUAAUUGUGAUAAAAUUUUCAAAUAUGAUGAUGCUUCACCAUUUUUUUUUCGCGCCAAAAUUGCACACUGAUUGUAUUUGAUUUAUCAUUUUUUUUUCUAUUUUGAAUUUCGCUUCACUUUUUUUUUCACUUUUUUUCUAACACUUCAAACUAUUGAGAUCCAUAAUUUCAUAAUUUUUCUCCAACGAAUUUUAAUUUCAUAAACAAAAACAGCCAGCACAGAAUAAAAAACAGAGGAAGCCUAAUUCUGGAAUUAAAAACAGUUUUAAGAAACUUCAAAAACACAAUAGAAUUAAUGUAUAAUAAGUCGUGUGGAUCUAGCACACAAAUAUGAACUCAAAUCUUAAAAUGCACCAAAGGAUCAAACAAAAAAUUAUAAAUAUGGACUCAAAAAGAAAAUCAAUGAACCAAAAUUAUGAAGAAAAGUACUACAUAAAAGUGUUGACAAUUUAGGAGAAACAUGACUUGACAAAACAUCUAUGGAUUCAAAAAUCAAAAUGACUCAAACACAACAAUAUGAACCGAUUAAAAUUGCAAGAAAGACUCAAAUCUAGCAAAAUUAAAACAGCAACACCAAAACUCAAAGGAAUCCUACACAAAAUUGAAAUUAGAAGCUCAAGAACAAUUUGAACACAUUGCACUGAUUGGAUUUAUCCAAACAGCAUCUAAAACAGUUAAAAUGCAAAAACAACAAGACAAUCAAGGAUACAAGAUGAACAACACGAAAUUAUAAAGAACAACACAAAAUUAAAAUGAGAAGAAGAAGACACAUUUAGCUCUUGAAGAACCUAGGCUCAUGAUACCACUUGAUGGAGGUGUGCCUUCAUCCGUAGCUUUUCUUUACUGGAAUUGGCGGAAGCAUUCAUGGAAGAAGACGAGCAAGGAACUCAUGAAGAAUGGUGGACUCCUUGAAGGUGCAUGCUAAGUGUGGAGAGUGAGUGGUGAGGCUAUCUCACUUGGCAAAGAUGAAGAAUGAAGAUUAAAAUGUCUAUCCUAGAGAGGUAGGAGACAAGGAGCAAAAUUGGCACAAUUUUGGCAGCAAUUUGCUCGAGAAUAAUCUUGCUAUUUCAUGACCCAAGCACCUCCUUAUAUAGGAUUGGAGGGUCGGAAUUGGAAGAGUCAAAUACAAAUGAAAUACAAGCUAAAUCAAAUGUGAAGCAUUUGGCGCCUAAUUUGAGACUUAACACAUGGAGCAUGUGAUGGAAAGCUUUUAAGCACAUGGAACAUGUGCUUUCUUCUCCAAGGCUUAGUCAUAACCGGCCUUGGUUAAUUUAGGUGUUCAAAAAACCCUAAUUUAACCAAGGUUGGUUUUUAGGUACCAAAAUUCACCUAAAAAGAAAUUACAAGUAAAAUUUCCUAUUCUACUUUAACAAAAUUAAAUCCUACUUCUACACUAGAGUUUAUGGCAUUUUAAACAUGUAGAAGAAGGUUUCUCUGCCAUCAGUAUCAGUAUUCCAAUCUUGUUGAUCCUUCUUGGUCAUGGCUCUAGUGGUAAGUCGAGGUCUUCUCUUUGUUGGACUUGCACUUGGACUUGUCCUUAGGCCUCUUCCAUCAAAAUUAAUAAUAAAAUAAAAUUUUAAUACAAAAUAUUUAGUUAUUUAUAAUAAACAAAUUAAUGGUUAUAAAUAUAAUAAUAUUAUUUACAUUUAAUAUAAAAUUAUUUUCUAAUUAUAAUUUUUAUAUAAGAAUAUUUAAAUUAUUUAUUUCUACAUAAUAGUUUAUAACUUUUACAUAUAUUCAUAAUUUUUCGUGUAAAUUAUUUUUUGUCAAGUAACUCGUAUUUUUUUUCGAAAAUAAUUAUUCAAUGUUAUUGGAAAUAACUUACAUAAUUUUAAUUAACCUAAAUCUACAUAAAAAUACAUAAUAUUUGGUUAUUCUAUUUUUUUGAAACAAUGGUAAAUUUAUAAUCUUAUAAUUUACAUCUUUCAGAAAAUCAAAAUACCCUCACAACAAUGACAUCACUCACAAACUUCAAUAGAUUUUUUUCACAAAUUCACUCUAGCAUACUCCAAUCUAAACACAACGACUUUCUUCAUACUUUUCUCUCAAAUCUUUACACAUUCACUCUCUCAAAUCCUCACACUUCCCCUCCUCAAUUUAAACACAACUUAAAAAUUAUUGUUUUAAUUAGUUAACCAAUUGGACUAGAACUCGUGAGUAACAAACAUGGGUCUCAAUAGGCUGCAAUCACCAGGUAUUUUGUAACAGGAAAAAAGAGUGAUUUUGACUAAGAUAGAAAUUAAAGGAAAUAUUUUAUUUAUUAAUUUAUAAUAUAUAUAUAUAUAUAUAUAUAUAUAUAUAUAUAUAUAUAUAUAUAUAUAUAUAUUUAUUAUAUAUAUAUAUAUAUAUAUAUAUAUAUANNNNNNNNNNNNNNNNNNNNNNNNNNNNNNNNNNNNNNNNNNNNNNNNNNNNNNNNNNNNNNNNNNNNNNNNNNNNNNNNNNNNNNNNNNNNNNNNNNNNNNNNNNNNNNNNNNNNNNNNNNNNNNNNNNNNNNNNNNNNNNNNNNNNNNNNNNNNNNNNNNNNNNNNNNNNNNNNNNNNNNNNNNNNNNNNNNNNNNNNNNNNNNNNNNNNNNNNNNNNNNNNNNNNNNNNNNNNNNNNNNNNNNNNNNNNNNNNNNNNNNNNNNNNNNNNNNNNNNNNNNNNNNNNNNNNNNNNNNNNNNNNNNNNNNNNNNNNNNNNNNNNNNNNNNNNNNNNNNNNNNNNNNNNNNNNNNNNNNNNNNNNNNNNNNNNNNNNNNNNNNNNNNNNNNNNNNNNNNNNNNNNNNNNNNNNNNNNNNNNNNNNNNNNNNNNNNNNNNNNNNNNNNNNNNNNNNNNNNNNNNNNNNNNNNNNNNNNNNNNNNNNNNNNNNNNNNNNNAAUUUUAUUAAUAUUAUUUAAAUUAAUAACAUUAUUAAUUAUUGCAAUAAUGUUAUUAAUAUUAUUAACAUUAUUAAAUAUUAUUAAUAUUAUUAAUUAUUAAUAACAUUAUUAAUUAUUACAAUAAUUUUAUUAAUAUUACUAACAUUAUUAAAUAUUAUUAAUAUUAUUAAUUAUUAAUAACAUUAUUAAUUAUUACAAUAAUCUUAUUAAUAUUACUAACAAUAUUACAAUAAUUUUAUUUUUAAGUAAUUCAUAUGAAAUGACAAAAUAUUCUAUUGUAUUAAUAAAAUGAAAUAUAUUAUAUAAGGGUAGAAUCGAAAAGGUUUGUAAACAUCAAAAAAAGGUUAUAAUAAUGGACAAUUCACUUUAUAUAUAGGUAUAAAUUAUUAUUAUUAUUAUUAUUAUUAUUAAUAUUAUUAAAUAUUAUUAAUAUUGUUAAUAUUGUUAAUAUUAUUAAUAUUAUUAAUUGUAUUAAAUAUUAUUAAUAUUAUUAAAUAUUAUUAAUAUCAUAAAAUAUUAUUAAUAUCAUAAAAUAUUAUUAAUAUCAUUAAAUAUUAUUAAUAUCAUUAAAUAUUAUUAAUAUCGUUAAAUAUUAAUAAUAUGAUGAAAUAUUAAAAAUAAUAUUAAAUAUUACUAAUAUUUUUAAAUAUUACUAAUAUUUUUAAAUAUUACUAAUAUUUUUAAAUAUUACUAAUAUUUUUAAAUAUUACUAAUAUUUUUAAAUAUUACUAAUAUUUUUAAAUAUUACUAAUAUUUUUAAAUAUUACUAAUAUUUUUAAAUAUUACUAAUAUUUUUAAAUAUUACUAAUAUUUUUAAAUAUUACUAAUAUUUUUAAAUAUUACUAAUAUUAUUAAAUAUUACUAAUAUUAUUAAAUAUUAUUAAGUAUUACUAAUAUUAUUAAAUAUUAUUAGUAUUAUUAAUAUUAUAAAUACAUUAAUGAUAUUAAUAUUAUUUAUAUUAUUAAUAUUAUAAAUAUAUUAGUGCUAUUAAUAUUUUUUUAUUAAUAUUAUUAUUACUAAUAUUAUUAAUUUUAUUCAUGUUAUUAAUAUCAUUAAUAAGAUUAAUAUUACUAAUACUAUUAAUAUUAUUAGUAACUAGCGGGAACACAGGCACUCACGUGCCUGUAUAUCCGCAUUUUUCAUUUUUACUAUUUAUAUAUUCAUAUAAUUUUAAUAAAUAUUAAAUUAUAUGAGAAGAUGUGUAAAUUAUCUAAAUGCAUCAUUGAUAAUAGUUUUAUUAAGAUUUGAUGUUAAUUUUUUAUAUUUUCAUUUUAUUGUUUUUGAAUAUUAAAUUUUGAUUUAACUUGGGUGUAAUCUUGAACUUUGUAAGGUUAUCAAGAUUAAAAUUAAGGUUUAAAAAAAUGGACCAGCAAACAAUGUCAAAACAUAAUGCAAAUGGUUGUAUGUUGGAAGUUGUAGAAUCUAUCACCAUAUCAAUUGAAUUCACAUCUUCCAUGGCAAAGAAGUGGAAAAAAAAUAAAAUAAUAAACUAAAUACAAAUUACCAAACUUCCAACUUAUGUAAUAUCUAAUAGAUCAAAGCACCAGUAGACAUAAAAACUUUGCCCGCAAAGCUGGGCUUAGGAUUCAUACAAAAAUAUAAAAUAAUUAAGAAAGCAAUAGAAACAAAAAUGUUCAAAUCCUAUAACAAUGAGACACGUCUCUGCUUCGAACGCUUUGGGAAGUGCGAGAAGGAGGAAGCAAUGGUGGUUGUUGUUGUACAGUGGUGAUUGAAGAGGGACUAAGAUGGGUGAGAGUAGGAGAAGAACAUGGAGCGUGAAGGAAGAAGGUUCAAAAUGUGUCAAAAUUUAUGAGCAUUUUUUUUUUGGAUGUAACGGGUGAAAACUACUCCUUAUAAGGAAGUGGAAGAAAGUGGGAUAACCGCUCAACUACUCCUUAUAAGGGAGUGAAUGUAACGGGUGAAAACUACUCCUUCACAAGAAAGUGGAUGUAAAUGGUGACGGUGAAAACUACUGAAGAAAGUGGUAACCGCUCAGUAAUAAUCAAAUUGUUGUCACUGCUCACAUUUCCUAAUAUUUAUUUCUCUCUCAUAAAACAAACACUCCCUCUCAUUAUGCAAUUAAUUUUCAAAAUAAAUUAUCUCUUUCAAUUCAAACGGUUGCUCCAUUUAUUUCAAAUAUUUUAUUAAAUUUAUUUCUCUCUCAUACAACAAACACUCUCUCAUUAUGCAAUUAAUUUUCAAAAUAAAUUAUCUCUUUCAAUUCAUAACCACUCCUCCACCUCUCUCUCAAUUCAUAACCGUUCCUCCACCUCUCUUUCAAUUCAUAACUGUUCCUCCACAUCUCUUUCAAUUCAAAACCGCUUUUCCACCUCUCUUUCAAUUCAAAACCGUCCCACUACGUAUACCAAAUAUUGUAGAAAAAAUAAGAAAGGGACCAUAAUACAAUAAUAAAAUUAAAUAUUAAUAUAAGGAUAAAAUGGGAAAAAAAUUAAGAGCAGUUAAGAGGGGAAUAAGAAAUGACACAAUGACCAUAAUACAAUAAUAAAAUUAAAUAUUAAUAUAAGGAUAAAACAGGAAAAAAAAUUAAGAGCAAUUAAGAGGGGAAUCCCCUUUAUAUAUAGGUAUAGAUAAUAUUAUUCAUAUUAUUUAUAUUAUUAAUAUAAUACUAAUAAUAUUAUAUAUAUUAUUUUAUUUAUUAUUAUUAAUUUUAUAAUAUUAAUGGUUCUCGUCGGUUGAUUUUUUCACCAGUUGACUUUUUGUCGGUUGACUCUGGUGAUAAGCUUUAGCUCCGGUCUGUCUUCUCUGUGCUAGACUUUAAACUAGAGGGGGGAUGAAUGUUUUAAAGAGGGUUUUCGCAAACUUUUAAGUAUAGAAUGAAAUUACUUUGAGAAAACUUGAUUAAGAAUUCAGUUUGUCAAAAACACAAAGCAAUUUAGCACAACACUAGAAAAACAUUCGGUUGUUUCGCAGAAACAAUCGGUUGUUUAUACUAGUUCACAAAUAUAAACUGAAAUUAAAGAUUUCAAGGGUUCGAGAGAUUGCACACACAGGUUUAUACUGGUUCACUCUUAAACCAAGAGCUACAUCCAGUCUUCCCAGAAACCACUGGGGAAUCCACUAAGCAAUCAACCCUAGAUUACUUACAACACCACCAAAGAAGUGACCUUGAUCCCCUCAAGACACACACUUCCUUUGGCUCAGCACAAACACCACCAAGAAUGCUGAUCUUGACAACCUCAAGAGCACACAACACUUCUUAGCUUCACACACAGAGUUUACAGAAGGUACAAAAGGAUUACACUUGUUACAGAAAAGAUCUGAAAUCAAUACAAGAUGAAAAUCCUAUAUCACACUCUCUUGAUCAAAGCAAUCUUCAACUCUUCAAAAGAAAAACCAGUGAAAAACUUCAAAACCUUAUUGUACUGGACCAGAGCACUGGGCUCGGUGCUUAGGUGAUCGGACAUCGGCACCUGUGUGGAGCAGGUUAGCUUGGUGAUCUGGUCGAGUUAAUGGGCCAGUGGAACCCAAGAAUGCGUGUGUUAAAACCCGUAUAUAUGUAAGGCCUAAUCAGCGAGAAAGUGCAUGUGGUGUGUAUUUGGGUCUAGCACAAGUAAAUAUCCCCUAAAGACGCCUAGGCCCAAGAGCGCUAGGGUUUUCAGGGGUAAGCUGCAUGCAUGAUACGUAAAGGUUAGAGCGCCUACAGUGACAGAUGGGCCCCAUGAUGCUGGUAUAUGAGUUGGUACCCUGACAGCCAUGUUGUUAAGAUUAUGCACUCCAAAGAGGAAGAUUUUGCGCGAUUGUUACACUAAGAUUGUGUGACAUUAUAACAGAAUGCCCUCCCAUCAUACCUGCUUUCACUUGAGAUAAAGUCUCGUGAGAGAAGGGUUGUUACAAUGAAGUAACCUAAAAGUAGUCUAUAAAAGGGACUCGAGAUCCCUAGUAAAGGUACACCGUUUCUAAUGAAACUACUUGCUUACUUACUCAUUGUUUCUUAGCCCAGUACUGAAUUGAUUGUCGGAGUGCAAUCAACAGGUAGGGCCCCCUCUGUUUCAAAUGGAGCCGCAUUCCAACGUCCCCGGGAAAGAGCAAAUCCAGCAGAGGCAAACAGAGUCACAACCUACUCUCAGAGUCAACCGACUACUAGGUCAACCCACAAGAACAUUUGGCACCCACCGUGGGGCCUGAUAAAACUAGGUCCCAUCCACAGUUGUGAUCAGAGCUAUCAGGCGAUAUGAGGAAUACAAGACAAGGCACCGCUGGACAGGAAGAAGGCGACAACGUUACCAUGCAAUAACUCAUGGAAACUAUCCACACUCUUCAGUAGACAGUGGAGGCAUCCAAGGCUGAUUAGGAAAGGGUUUUGGUUGAGGUUCGAGCUAAGCAGGCACUUAGGAAAGACCAAUUCAGGGUCGAGUUGGAUGCGUCGCGGACAGACAACGAAGAUUUACGCAUGGCCAAUAGGAUUUGCGGAGAGAUUUGCAAUGCUUAGGGGAACACACGGUAGGGGAGCAAAACCCGCCUAUCCCAGUCAGGGCUUGCCCCAUGCCAUUCUCCCAAGCGAUCAUGAAUGUCGUGAUACCUACCAAUUUCAUGACCCCAAAAAUCACUUUCACAGGUACUGAAGACCUGGAGGCCCACAUCACAACUUUCCACACUCAGAUGAUGAUCUCGGGAGGAACAGACGCCAUGCAUUGCAAGUUAUUUAUGGGAACGUUCGUAGGCAGAACAUUGGAUUGGUUCAUCAGUCUCCCCGAUGGACACAUCACCUCGUUUGAUCAAUUCUCUACAUUUUUCAGGGAGCAGUUCAUUGUCAACAGUGCUCCACCCCCUGUCUCUUUCGACCUCUUUGAUGUGAAGCAAUACCAGGGAGAGCCCCUUAAGGACUUCCUGAAUCGGUUUGGGGCGCUGGUUGUAAAACUACCAAGGAUGAAGCUAUGAUGGUGCAUGCCUUCAGGCGGGGAAUUUUGUCAGGGCCCUUCAGCGACUCUUUAAUAACGUGUCAACCAAAGACGUUUAGCGAGAUUCGGCACCGAGUUGUUGCUCACAUCUGCACAGAGGAAUAGGAAACAAAAAAACGUGGAAGCGUUGGACCGACAAGACCUCGGGAGAGCGGUCGUGCUCAACCCAUAAGUGAUGGAGAUCAAGAUCAAGACCAAAUGUAGGCCAAUACUCAAGGACAAGAAGAGGAAGAGGCUCAAGUGUUAGACGCUCAAAGAGUUGGUAGCCCACCUCAAAGGCUUACAAGAAGUCAAUUCAAGGCAUUAGGAAAUAAUGGAAUGUUGUUUUCUCUUUUUGUAAUAUCUUUGUGUUAGAAGGUGCUUAGAGGGAAACAUAAGACACCUCUUUUGUAAAAGCAUCUUUAGGUCUUUAGUUUAGGAAAAAAAUAGGAAGCUUGGGGGGUGUGAGCUUAGUAGAGGGGUGUAGGCGUAAUAGGGAGGUGCCAAACUAAGAAAAGAAGUCACACCUUCCUCAUGCUCUAAGUUGGCGCCACUUUUAUGUCAUUUGGGGGGUAAUUUGAGUUUAAUUAGCUUUUCAUUUCAGCACCUCUUAGGCUAUAAAUAAAGGUGUUUGCCUUUGUAAAAUUCAGAUUGGAAAUUGGAAUUAGAGAAACUCUACUCAAUUUGAGAGAGAAUUGUGAGAACUUGUCUUCUCCUUCACCUUGUCUUAUCUUGAGUGCAUUUGGUUCUCUCAAGUGGCGGCACUAGCUCACUUAUCUUGGAGCCUUCACCAUCCAAUUGGUGUGAUCAUCAAACCAAGUCCUUCAUCUCCAUAAGUUCUUCUUUCUUUCAUCUCCUAGCUCAUUUGAAUCUAAAACAUGUCUUAGUUUACUUUUCUAGCAUUUUCAUUCGGUAUUCUAGCUUGUUUCUGAAUUUGCUUCGGUUCAUCUUCUCCUUGGCUGUUCCUAUUUGAUUCUUCUUCAUUUCUUGCAUUUUGUUCGGUUCAAUUUCAGCAUUGUAGCUUUCUAUUCGGUCCUUUUUCUUUUAUACACAAUUUAAUCGGUUCAAUUGGCAAUAGAUGGAUCUUCCAUAUGAGUUUGGUGUUUGGUGCAAGUUUUGGUGAGUUCUUAAAACAUAGAACAUUGAUCCAAUUCUAUUAAAAGUGCCUAAGCUAUCUCCAACUCAAGUUGAUUCCAUAGAAUGUCAAAGAAUCAUCUCUAUUUGGCUAGUGGAAUCAUAUCAUGUGGUAUCUAGAAUUUAGGUUUGUUCUUGUUUAAUUUUGAGUUGUGUUGCACUUUAAUUCAAGAGCUCUAUAAUUCUUGUUGUUUACCUUUCUGUUUUUAGGCUUAUUUUGAGUUUUAUUGCUGUUUUCUUAAUUGUGCCUAUCAUGUGUUUGUGUAUUUUCCUUUUUGAAUCCAUACAAGUUUUGUCAUAGUCAUGUUUUUCCAAGAAUGUCAUCACUUCUUGUAGUACUUUUAUUGAAUUUUUUGUUUCUUGCUUUGGUGUAAUACAGUUUUCUGAGUUUGAUACUUGAUCCUUUGUGCAUUUUCUGUUUUAGUUUUGAGUUCAUACUUGUAUUUUAGAUCUAUACAAGUUCCUAUACAUCAUUUCCAUUAUGUCUUUGCUAGUUCUUAAUUCUGUUUUUCAUUCCUGUUAGGAUUCCUCUGUUUUUCUGAAAACGUGCUCACUGUUUCGAUUUAUUGCAAUUGAUUUACUCACUGGAAAUUUCUGAAAUUAUGGAUUUGUGUUCUUUAAAGUGUUAUAAAAGAGUAGAAAAAAGAAGUACUUAAAAAUUCCAAGUACAAAAAAAAUGAUAAAUCAAAAACAAAAAGUAACCGCCCAAACAUGCGCCCUACGAGCCGAAAAAGCAUUAGACUAGGGCAUGAGCGAAGGGAGACAUGCCUUGUCGACACAAGUUCAGAAUAAAACUCAAGGAGCUUAUCGCUAUCCCAGACGUGGCCGACAAGCUAAAGCCACCCCCAAAGAGUGACAAGAGAUUGGGGCCAAGCAGGGGCACCUGGUGCGAGUUCCACAAGGCCUUUGGGCAUGACUUGCAAAACUAUUUGGCACUUGGAUACUAAUUGGCUAAUUUGGUGAAGAAUGGAUUCCUGAAGGAAUACUUAGAGGAAGGUCAUGAAGCCUCAACGGUGGUGACCUUAGCAGGGAUCAGGGACACAAAGUACCAUUCCAUGGCGAGGUUAACACGAUCUUUGGGGGGUUUCUCAUGAGGAGGAUGCACCACCUCCCAGCGAAAGAAGUAUGUUAUAAGGGUGAUGGCAAUAGAAGCACGGGAACCUGACCAGUCACCUGAGCCCGACCUCUACUUCACGAAGGCUGAUUUACAGGAUGUGGUCCCACAUGAUAAUGACCCAGUGGUAAUUUCAGUGGUGAUAGUAGGGAGAAGGGUACACCGAGUCCUCAUCGACCAAGGGAGCUCGACAUAUGUAAUGUUUUGGUCGACCUUCAACAAAUUGGAGUUGUCGCCCGACCAACUGAGACCUUAUGACGGCUGUUUGUACGGUUUUGCUGGAGACCAGGUAAAAGUAAGUGGGCACGUGGAGCUAAGGACGACCUUCACAGACAACACCACGUCCCGCACCGUCAAUAUCAGGUACCUUGUCAUCAACUUACAACAUCCUUUUGGGAAGACCUACCCUGAAUAGGAUAUGAGCGGUGGCCUCAACGAGGCAUAUGAAGAUGAAGUUGCCUUCCCUCGAGGAAACGAUAAUUACCAUUAAGUCUGACCAAAAGGCGGGAAAUAAAUGCUAUGUGAAUAGCUUGAAGACGAACAUAGAGGUGUGCUCGAUCACCAGCCAGCCUUAGGAGGGAGAAGGGAUCACCCGUGUAGAGAUGGGUUGGGAGAGGCGACCUAAGCCUGUAGGUGAGGUGCUGGAAAGGGAGAUCGGGAGAAAGAAGUUUAAGCUUGGCAAAUCUUUAGGCCAGGAAAUACAGGACCAGAUCGCCGAGGUAAUAACACGACAUUUGGACGCCUUUGCGUGGUGUGCCUUGGACAUGCCCGACAUCGACCCUGAUUUCCUAUGCCAUCAUCUCACGAUGGAUCCAAAGGUCAAGCCUGUUUGCUAGAGGCAGAGGAAGUUCAAUGACGAAAGAUGCCUGGUCAUGAGGCAAGAGACCUAGAAGCUGCUGAGUGCGCCACAUAACGGAGAUCCAAUACCCUGAGUGGUUAGCAAACAUGGUGUUGGUCAAGAAGACCAACGAAAAGUGGAGGAUGUGCGUCGAUUUUACGGAUUUGAACAAGGCUUGUCCAAAGUAUUCAUAUCCGUUGCCCAACAUUGACACACUAGUGGAUAACGCGUCAGGUUGCAAACUUCUCAGUUUUCUGGAUGCCUUCUCAGGAUAUAACCAAAUUCGGAUGCAUCCCCAAGACGAAUGCAAGAAAACAUUCAUGACAGAGCUCUCCAGCUAUUGUUAUACGGUGAUGCCCUUUGGGCUAAAAAAUGUCGACGCGACCUAUUAGAGGCUGAUGGACAGGGUUUUCGCCCCUAUGAUAGGGCAAAACGUGCAGGCAUAUGUGGAUGAUAUGAUCAUCACCUCCCAGGAGAAGGACCAACACAUUGCCGACUUAGAGGAGCUAUUCACCACAAUAGCCAGGUAUAAAUUGAAGUUAAAACCCGAAAAGUGCGUAUUCGGGGUAGAGGCAGGGAAUUUCUUAUGAUUCCUCCUCACCGAGUGGGGAAUAAAGGCGAACCCCGAGAAAUGUGCGACGAUCAUAGCUAUGAGAAGCCUGACCUCGGUGAAGGAGGUACAACAAUUGACGGGGCGAAUGGCCGCUCUGUCCCGAUUUGUAUCUGCAGGAGGAGAUAGAGGGCAUCCCUAUCUCCUGUGUUUGAAGAGGGACAACCGAUUUGUGUGGACAAACGAGUGUGAAGAAUCGUUCCUCAAGCUGAAGAAGUACCUGUCCAGCCCGCCAGUUCUGUGCAAGCCGCUGCCAGGUACUCCCCUCCGUCUGUACUUUGCUAUUACAGAACGAGCGAUCAUAGUCCAGGAGCAGGAUUGCAUCCAAAGGCCUAUAUAUUUUGUUAGCAAAGUGCAGCAGGGGCCCGAAGUGCGCUAUCAGGCCAUUGAGAAGGCGGCUCUAGCAGUAGUAUUUGCAGCACGAAGGCUUCGCUACUAUUUCUAGAGCUUCACGGUGAUCGUGAUGAUCGACCUUCCCAUCCGUAAGGUCUUGCAGAAACCUGACGUGGCGGGACGGAUGGUGUGCUGGGCGGUCGAGCUGUCAGAGUUUGAUUUGCAGUAUGAGACGAGAGGACCUAUCAAGGGUCAAGUUUAUGUUGACUUCUUGGUAGAACUCUCCUUGGCAACCACACACCAAGACAAUGGAGAUUUCCAAUGGGUCCUUUCUGUGGACGGGUCCUCUGAGCAGUGAGGCUGGUAUCAUCCAUGAGGGACAAAACGGGCUACUAAUCAAGCAGGCCCUACGAUUUGCUUUCAACUCUAGCAACAACCAAGCUGAAUAUGAGGCCUUGGUGGCAGGAAUGUUGCUAGCCAAAGAGAUGGCUGCCCGAAGUUUGUUAGUGAAGAGUGACUCACUACUGGUAGUCGGGAAAGUUACGGGCGAGUACUAGGCCAAGGACCCUAGAUGGCCGCGUAUCUAAAGUGUGUCAUGCUCCUGAAAGAGGCGUUCACUGCUUUUGAGUUGGGCACAUUCCCAGGGAACAAAAUGCCCGAGCUGACUUACUGGCAAAGCUCGCCAGCUUAGGCAGGGGGGUCGACAAAGGAAAAUUACCCAGGAAACCUUAAAAGUCCCCAGGACCACCACAGGCGGCGUGGAAGAGGUCCAGCAGGUAAGUGCCUUCGAGGGCGGAAGGAGAGGUCACCGGUCGUUGACCCAGGAAACAUUGAGGGUACCUAAGAUAAGUGCAUAUGACUUGUCAGUGGGAGAAUCGUCGCAUGUUUGCCUGGUCGACGAAGGUGAAACCUGGAUGACACCCUAUAGGCGUUACCUGGCGAAUGGUCUACUCCCACAGGAGCCAACGGAGGCCAAAAUCGUUAAGAAGAAUGCAUACAGAUAUACCUUGGCUGAUGGAAAGUUGUUCAAGCAUGACUUCUCUCACCGUAUCCUGUCCUGUGUGAGUGGUGAGCAGUGCACACGUAUCAUGACUGAGCUCCAUGAAGGUAUCUGUGGGAGUCACAUCGGUGGACGAGCUCUCUCAUCAAAGGCUAUUCGAGCAGGAUAUUACUGACCGACCAUAAGGGAGGAUUGCACGAGGUACACACAAUGGUGCAAACAGUGCCAACAACACGCCAACUAGCAUCAUGCGCCCCCGGAGGCGUUGCGAUCGAUCCAUAGCCCAUGACCUUUCCACACAUGGGGGAUUGACAUCUUGGGUCCAUUUCCCUUAGAAGUUCGCCAAAUGAAGUACCUGGUGGUAGCCAUCGAGUACUUCACCAAGUGGAUAGAAGCUGAGCCUAUGGCACAAAUCACAACUCACAAGGUUCAACACUUUGUAUGGAAGAACAUAGUUUUCCGUUUUGGAAUCCCAAAGCAUGUAGUGUUUGACAACCACACCCAUUUUGCAAGUCAGCAGCUAGGCAAACUAUGCACAGAGCUCGACAUCAAACAGGUGUUCGCCUCGGUAUAACACGCCUAGACGAAUGGACAGGUCGAAUAUGCUAAGUGAGUCAUGCUCAGAGGCCUAAAGAGGAGACUGGAGAAAGCCAAGGGAACUUGGGCAGAUCUGGUUCCUAGAAUUGUAUGGGCCUAGCACACCAUUCCUCAAUCCACCACCAAAGAGACGCCUUUUAGCCUAGUGUAUGGGUCAAAUGCUCUGAUCCCCGUCAAGAUCCAUGACAGUUCACCUCGAUUCCAGAACUUCGUGAUUGAGGAGAAUAACGAGGAAAUGAGGGUAAACUUAGAUCUGCUCGACAAGGUCAGAGAGGAAGCACGCAUCAAGACCGAAGCCUUGAAGAGAAGGGUGGAGUAUAAGCAGAAGUCCAAGCUAAAACCUCGGCAGUUCCGGGUCGCCGACUUGGUAAUGCGAAAGGCUCACCCCUAUCAGUUGGAGAACAAGUUGUCUCCUAAGUGGAUUGGCCCAUUCCGUGUGAUAGAGGUGCUCGGUAACGGAGCGUAUAGACUCGAGAACUUGGAAGGCGAGAUCAUUCCUCGAACAUGGAAUGAGGCUAAUCUUAAAUUUUAUUUCAGUUAAUUAUGCUAUUGUAUGCAGUACGAACGUUUAAGGCGACACUCUUUUCCCCUUAUCAGGGUUUUUUAAAUAGGUCUCCCAAUAAAAGUUAUUUGAAAACUAUGCUUGCAGUAUAUCGUGCUAACAGUGAAAUAUCCCCUUGGUAAGAUUCCAAGAGUGGGAACAGUAGAGUUCAUAGCGAACCUCCCCCUAGUAAGAUUCCAAGAGUGGGAACAAUAGGGUUCGUAAGCGAACCUCCCUUUGGUAAGAUUCCAAGAAUGGGAACAAUAGGUUUCAUAAGCGAACCUCCCCCUUGGUAAGAUUCCAAGAGUGGGAACAGUAGGGUUCAUAGCGAACCUUGUUCAAGAUGGGAAGCUUUGAUGUGCAAAAUCCUCAUGAAGGCUGAAGCUGUGUGAUGUUUAAGGUUUAGGUUUUGGUUUGGGGUUUAGAAUCUUUGUAAAGAUCAGUUUUGAAUCUCAGACAAAGCUCAUUUCAACCAGUUUUAAAGAUUAAAGUGUUUUUCCAUGCAAAGGGAAAAACAACCGAUUAAAGUUUCGAAAUAAUCGGUUGUGUUUAACUUAGCUGGCAAAUAAGGUUUUGAAACUGUUUUAUAACUGACAAGAGCAUUCAACCGGUUAAAUCGUGGUUUUAACCGAUUAAAUGUAUGUCCUUGCAACAGCUUUUUGAAAAUCUAUUUUAAUUGAUUUGGUUGUUUUGAUUUGCUUCAACGUUAGCAUUUCAAGUAUUAUAAAUAUGUUUUUGAUUCAAACGUUUAAAGAUUGAUGAAAUAAAAACUUUAGAUACUCUGAGUUGAGAUUGAUUUGAAAGAUUACAAAACUGCUUGUGAAAAGGUUUUUCAUCAAGUUUUAACAAGAUUGCUUUGUGCUUUGUUGUGGUUCAAAGAACUGAUCAUUAGGGUGCUAGUGUAUUGUGUUGUACCAGGUGUUUUCUAAUCCUGUUCAAGUUCUUGUAAUUGUUCAUAUAACAUUCUGUAUAACUGUGUGAAAUCCUGUAAAGUUAGUGUAAUUCUGGCUUGAGGUGUGUGUUGUGUGUAAGGAGGGUGAGUAGGCUUUGUGGGAUUCAAAGUCACCUCUUUGUGUGUGGUGUUUGUGUAAUCUGUGAUCGGUUGCAUAGUGAAAACUCAGUGAUUUGACUGAGGACUGGAUGUAGCUCUAUGAUAGAGUGAACCAGUAUAAUCUCUGUGUGUAAUUCUCUCUAUCCCUUCUCUCUAUAUUUGUUUGUAUUUUUCCGCUGUCAUAAACAACCGGUUAAAUCACUAUUUUAACCGAUUAAAAUUCUGCUUCUGUUUCUGUUUGGUAAUUUGAUUAGCUUUCUGAAUUGCUUUUCUGGGUUGAUUGAAAAAGUUUUAUUCUAAGCCAAGUAUUUGUAAAAAUAGUUUGAAAACAAUUCAUCCCCUCUUGUUUUAGCCAUCAAAUCUAACAAUUGGCAUCAAGAGCAAGGUUCUUGAAAGUUAUUCAAGUUUUUUGAUUUCUGGUUUUUGAAAAUCUUGAUGGCUGAUAAAUUUUUUUUGGGGAAGGUGCCUCUUUGAACAAACAACCUUUGUUCUAUGGUCAAAACUAUCCUAUUUGGUGCAUAAGAAUGAAAUUCUUUAUUCAAUCCUUAAAUAAGAAUAUUUGGAAUGUUAUUUCAAAUAAUACCUAUGUGCAUAUGCCUGAAAUUAAUGAAUCUUGUAAAUAACAUCUUGACUGUAUGGCACAACAUAUUAUUGUGUCUGCUCUAGACUCUGAUGUACUGCUCAAGAUUUUAGAAUGCACUACAGCUAAAGGAAUGUUGGACAAACUUGAGGAAUUGCACAAGAAUCCAAGGAGUGACUUGGUAGAUAAAGAAGAGUCAUCUGCUGGCUCAAUCUCUUCUAAAAAUAAAGUGGAAGUCUGCUUAAUGACCAAGGGAGAAUCAAAAUCAAGUCAAGUAAGUACAUCCUAUUCUAAUAAGUGUGAAAGUUAUUUUCAAUUUCUUGAUGCUUUCCAAGAAAUUCAUGAGGAAGCUAAGAGAUUAACUUUUUCAAAUAACCGAUUGAAAUGUGAAAACAACAAGUUGAAAAUGAAAAUCACAGUUUUGGAAAAAGACUUGAAUCAAUCAAAAACUGAUUUAGAAAAUUCUGAUUUGAUGCAUGAAAAAUCCUUUUGCAAAUGUGAUUCAAAUUUUUGCAAAACCUGUGAGUCUCUUCAAGAGAAAGUCUUAUAUCUUGUGAAAACAAUUGAUGUUAUUUCGAAAGGAAAAUCAAAUUUUGAAAAUGUGUUGGCAUCCCAAACAUGUGUUUUUGAAAAAUUUGGCUUGGGUUUUAACCCUCAAAGCAAACAAAGUGGGUGCACAAAACCUUUUUCAACCUUUACUAAAAAACAAUCGGUUAAAGCAUCGAAACAACCGGUUGUUUGUUGUUUCUAUUGCAUGAAAAAGGGACACUCUGUUAGGUUCUGCAGAAUCAGAAAGUUCUCUGUACCUAAGGGUAUUCUGAAAUGGGUUCCUAAAGAGCCUAAUGAUUCUUGGAAACAUAUUAACAUCUAUGGACCCAAAUUCACAAGGGGACCAGAUUUAGCAACUUGAUUUUGUUUCUUUUGUAGAGUUGUUUGGAGAGAAAACAACACCUAUGGUACCUAGAUAGUGGCUGUUCAAAACAUAUGACAGGUGAUGCAUCUAGGUUCAUCAGCAUUUCUCUCAAACCAGAUGGUGAUGUAAGCUACGGUGACAAUAACAAGGGAAGAAUUCUUGGCAAAGGUACAAUCAGUAAUGAAAGUAGUUUGCUUAUUCAUGAUGUGCUCUAUGUUGAAGGAUUGAAGCACAACUUGCUUAGCAUCAGUCAACUUUGUGAUAGAGGUUACCAAGUGACCUUUAGGACCAACUAAUGUGAAAUUCGCUUACCUAAUUCAAAGGAUGUUCUUCUCAUUGGUAAAAGAUCUAGCAACAUUUAUCUACUUGAUAUAUCUAGUCAUGCUUCAUUAGAUUGUCUUCUAUCAAAGCAUGAAGAAUCAUGGUUGUGGCAUAGAAGGUUUGCUCAUAUUCAUAUGAAUCAUCUAAAUAAGCUUGUGUCAAAUGAACUUGUUUAUGGCUUACCCAAACUCAAAUUUGAAAAAGAACAUGUGUGUGAAGCAUGUCAAAGGGGGAAACAAACUAGAAAAUCUUUUUCUUUGAAAAACUAUUUCAACUUCAAAACCCCUUGAACUUUUGCACACGGAUCUUUUCGGUCCUUCUAGGACUAUGAGUCUUGGAGGAAAUCUAUAUGGUCUUGUUGUUGUAGAUGACUAUUCCAGGUACACUUGGACACUCUUUCUACAUACAAAGAAGGAUGCAUAUUCAUAAUUUAAGAAGCUUGCAAGGAAACUUCAGAAGACAUGUUGCAGUAACAUAGGAGCAAUAAGAAGUGAUCAUGGAGGGGAGUUUCAAAAUGAAAAGUUCAUUAGCUUCUGCAACAAAUUGGGGAUUUCUUCAUAACUUCUCUGCACAAAGAACACCCCAACAGAAUGGUGUGGUGGAGAGGAAAAACAGGUUUCUAGAGGAGCUUGCAAGGACAAUUCUAAAUGAUUUUGGUCUACCAAAAUGCUUUUGGGCUGAUGCUGUGAGCACUGCAUGCUACUUGAUGAAUCAUGUGCUGAUUAGGCCUAUACUGAAGAAAACACCUUAUGAGUUGCUGAAUGGGAGAAAGCCAAAUGUGAGCCACCUAAAAGUCUUUGAUUGUAAGUGUUAUGUCCUUAACAAUGGCAAAGAAAUUUUAGGUAAGUUUGAUGCUAAAUCAGAUAAAGGUAUCUUUCUGGGUUACUCUCUUAAUAGCCAUGCUUAUAGAGUCUUCAAUAAAAAGCUUAUGACUGUUGAAGAAUCCAUUCAGGUUAUUUUUUAUGAGACUAACAAUUGUGACAAGCUCCAACUAAGAUCAAUACAGAGGAGGAUGAUCAAAACAUCUUUUUAAAGAAUCUUGACAGCAACACUGAAUUUCAACCGAUUGAAUCCUCGAUUCAACCGAUUGAAAAUCUGCAGCAGGAAGAUCUGCCAAAAGAUUGGAAGGUUCCUAAGGAUCUGUCCAUUGACGACAUCAUAAAUCAAAUCCACAGAGGAGUUUCAACCAGAAGGCAUGUGGCAAAGUUAUGCAAUCACUCUGCAUUUGUUUCAAAGAUUGAACCUCAAUCAGUACGUGAAGUUCUGAAGGAUGAAUUCUGGACAGCAGCUAUGCAAGAAGAGUUAAAUCAGUUUGUAAGGAAUGAAGUCUGGACUCUUGUUCCGAGAACCAAUUAAAUGAAUGUGAUAGGUACCAAGUGGGUUUUCAGAAACAAAUCUGAUGACUCGGGCAUCAUUACAAGAAACAAAGCGAGACUAGUGGCCAAAGGAUACAAUCAAGCUGAAGGCAUCGAUUAUGAUGAAACCUUCACACCUGUUGCAAGAUUGGAAGUAGUAAGAUUGUUAUUAGCUUUUGCUUGUAUGAGUGGUUUUAAAUUGUUUCAGAUGGAUGUGAAGAGUGCAUUUCUCAAUGGGAUCGUGAAUAAGGAGAUAUAUGUCUCACAACCACCUGGCUUUGAAGAUCACAAACAUCCAGAGUGUGUAUACAAGCUCAAGAAGGAAUUGUGUGGCCUCAAACAAGUUCCACGUCAAUGGUAUGAAGGGAUAAGUCUUUUUCUUUUAUCUCAUGAGUAUGAAAGAGGUAAAGUAGAUAAGACUUUGUUUAUUAAGAAGGCUGGAACUGAUAUUAUUUUGGUACAAAUAUACGUUGAUGAUAUUGUAUUUGGCUCGUCUAAUGUGAAACUUUGUGAGGACUUUGUCUAAGCUAUGCAGGGGGAGUUCGAGAUGUCAAUGAUGGGAGAACUCUCCUUCUUUCUCUUUCUACAAGUUAAGCAGUCCAAAGAAGGAAUCUUGAUAUGCCAAUCAAAGUAUUGCAAAGAAAUCCUUAAGAAGUUCGAGAUGGAAGCUUGCAAAGUAGCAGCAACUCCAAUGUCAACUAACUGCUACUUAGAAGUUGAUGAAGCUGGACGAGAGGUUAAUCAAACCAUGUAUAGGGGUUUAAUAGGUUCACUUCUUUAUCUAACUACAAGCAGACCAAACAUUAUGUUUGUUGUGUGUCUAUGUGCUAGAUUUCAGUCUUGCCCCAAGGAAUCACAUAUCAAGGCUGCAAAGAGGAUCCUGAAAUAUCUUAAAGGCACAAUAUUCAUGGGCUUAUGGUAUCCCUCUCUUUCUCCUAUACAUUUAGUAGGUUAUUCUGAUUCGGAUUUUCCAGGUUGCAAAUUAGUUAGGAAGAGUACAAGUGGAACAUGCUACUUGCUUGAUUCAAGCCUCAUUUCAUGGCAUAGUAAGAAACAAGCGUGUGUAGCCUUAUCCAUUGCUGAAGUUGAAUAUAUAGCAGCUGGUAACUGUUGUGUGCAGAUUCUAUGGAUCAAAUAACAACUUGAGGAUUUUGGAGUAAAGAUGAGUAAAGUUCCUCUUCUAUGUGACAAUACAAGUGCCAUUAACUUGACAAAGAAUCAUAUUCAACACUCGAGGACCAAACACAUUGAAAUAAGACACCAUUUCAUUCAUGAUCAUAUAGCCAAUGGAGACUGUGAGAUCAAGUUCGUUUCCACAGAAAGACAACUGGCUGAUAUCUUCACCAAGCCUUUAUCCAAGGAUAAGUUCUACUAUUUACGAAAUGAAUUGGGAAUUCUAGAUAUGCAUGCUUUAUCCUAGUUAUAUUCUAUUUUGUUUUGUCUAUUUGAUGAGACAAAUAGGGGGAGAAGAGUUUAGAAGGGUUGUUGGAAGCUGUAAUGUUCUGCUGUUUUAUUCUGGUUUGUUUACAACUUCAACCGGUUAUCUCUGUAUUAUAACCGAUUGUUCUUAUAUGCAUCUACUUAUUUUAAAAUCUGAUAUAUAGUGCAUAUCUGUUUGGACUAGUCUAUUCCGUGUUUGUUCAGUGUUUGCAGGUUUUAACAGAUUCUAAACAAAGAACAUUCCUAAAAGCAUCUCAGGGAUUUGUCUCCAUCAAAUAAAGGAGAUUGUUGAAGAUGGGAAGCUUUGAUGUGCCAAAUCCCCAUGAAGCCUGAAGCUGUGUGAUGUUUUAGGUUUAGGUUUUGGUUUGGGGCUUAGAAUCUUUGUAAAGAUCAGUUUUGAAUCUCAGACAAAGCUCAUUUCAACCAGUUUUAAAGAUUAAAGUGUUUUUCCAUGCAAAGGGAAAAACAACCGAUUAAAGUUUCGAAAUAUUCGGCUAUUUGUAACUUAGCUGGUAAAGAAGGUUUUGAAAUUGUUUUAUAACAGAUAAGAGCAUUCAACCGGUUAAAUCGUGGUUUUAACCGAUUAAAUAUAUGUCCUUGUAACAACUUUUUGAAAAUCUGUUUUAACUGAUUUGGUUGUUUAGAUUUGCUUCAACGUUAGCAUUUCAAGUAUUAUAAAUAUGUUUUUGAUUCAAACAUGUAAAGAUUGAUGAAACAUAAACUUUUGAUACUCUGAGUUGAGAUUGAUUUGAGAGAUUACAAAACUGCUUGUGAAAAGGUUUUUUUAUCAAGUUUUAGCAAGAUUGCUUUGUGCUUUGUUGUGGUUCAAAGAACUGAUCAAUAGGGUGUUGGUGUAUUGUGUUUUACCAGGUGUUUUCUAAUCUUGUUCAAGUUCUUGUAAUUGUUCACAUAACAUUCUGUAUAACUAUGUGAAAUCAUGUAAAGUAGGUGUAAUUCAGGCUUGAGGUGUGUGUUGUGUGCAAGGAGGGUGAGUAGGCUUUGUGGGAUUCAAAGUCACCUCUUUGUGUGUGGUGUUUGUGUAAUCUGUGAUUGGUUGCAUAGUGAAAACUCAGUGGUUUGACUGAGGACUGGAUGUAGCUCUGUGAUAGAGUGAACCAGUAUAAUCUCUGUGUGUAAAUCUCUCUAUCCCUUCUCUCUAUAUCUGUUUAUAUUUUUCCGCUGUCAUAAACAACCGGUUAAAUCACUAUUUUAACCGAUUAAAAUUUUGCUUUUGUUUUUGUUUGGUAAUUUGAUUAGCUUUCUGAAUUGCUUUUCUGGGUUGAUUGAAAAAGUUUUAUUCUAAGCCAAGUAUUUGUGAAAAUAGUUUGAAAACAAUUCACCCCCCCCUCUUGUUGUAGCCAUAAAAUCUAACAAACCUCCCCUUGGUAAGAUGCCAAGAGUGGGAGCGAAGUCUUUCCUUGGUAAGAUUCCAAGAGUAGCAGCGAAUAUCCCCUUGGUAAGAUUCCAAGAGUGGGAACAUUAAGUGUCAUAGCAAACCUCAGUGAAGUCUCCCCUUGGUAAGAUUCCAAGAGUGGGAGCGAAGUCUCCCCUUGCUAAGAUUCAAAGAGUGGGAGCGAGAUCUCCCUUUGGGGGAGUAGUAAGGCUCAUAGCAAUUCAGGCAAUACCUCUUGCUCAGAAAGCUCAGGUUGCCACUUGCACGAACCACAGUAAAACUUCUCUUUAGGGAGUACGUACAGAUAAAGCAAAGCAAUUCGUGCAGGAGGACCUGUUGACCAGCGAGGCUCUCUGAACUCAGGUACCCCAGAGCAUAAGUGUACCAUUGAUUAAUCAGGAGGACCAUGCUACUUACGUAUGGUCGAUCAUUGGUGUUCGAUUAGUUAUUAAACUGAUGAAAGUUGUGUCCAUUCAAGGCAUACACUAUUAUUAAACUAGCCGAAGUCAGGAAGGGAAACAUGCAUAUAUAUAUGUAUGUACACAAGAAAGGUAAGUUGUUCGUUAGAUUACAAAAGGAAGGCAAUAGCAGGGGAGUCCCCUGCGGCUAUUCCUUAUCUACUAGUUGCCCAUCUACGACAACUUUACCUAAUCCUAUCUGGGAGAGAUCCAGCUCAGGGUGCACGCAGGUGACUUAAGCCAUGGCAUCUUCAAAGCCUGUCGUGUAGGAGUAAGCGACAUCGCUCGUCAGCUCGUCCUUGGUCUUUUGUAGGAGCUCAUCCUUCUGUGCCAACUCCUCUUUCUGCCUGGCCACCUCCUCGUCCCUCCCAGCCAACUCUCCCUUCAGCUUCUCCACCUCAGUGCGGGGAUUGUUGUUUCUUGCGUACAACCCCAUGGCCUCUUGGGACUUCCUGAAAAGGAGGGCCUUGGUCUCUUGGUGCACUUUCCAAAGCUCUUCCACCUCCAACGUAAGUCAGGUGACUUGUCGUUUGAGCCCUACAACUUGGAGGGCUUCUUCUUUGGCCAGCUCCUUUGCUUUCCACAGUUUGGAGAGGAGAAAGCAAUUUGCCACUAGGGUUUCCCCCAGUUUCCUUGUGGCGUGCUCCAUCAAUGGACCCUCCUCCAGGCUCUCCAAUCUUCCCUUAAUUUUGGAGCAGAGCAUCAUUUUGUGAAGGAAGGAGACUGGGUCCCAGUGAUCUCACUCUGAAGCACUUUUUCCUCUACCUCAUGCACUGCAAUGUCGCGAGGAGGGGAAAGGCUGGGUGGAAAAUCCCGGUAGGAAGGAGCUCGGCCGCCUGAGGUGGAGUGGACAAAACCUACAGCAGCAUCUGUUCGCUUCCUCUUGAAGACGAGUCCAGAACAAGUUUCAUCGUCCUUAGAAGGGGUGACUUCAGCCACUGCCUUCAAUUUUUGACCCUUGGCAGAAGGGACUUGGGUGGUCUUCUUUUGUUUAGCCAGAGCGGCUAAGUUCUUUCUCUUUUGAGUGUCCAACAUGCUAUAUGCAUGAGAAUGAAAACAAUGAACAGUUCAGAAAACACACACAUGCAAGAUAUGGCUAGCAGGAGUAAAGGGAAGGAGGAUACCAAUGUAUUCCUUAAGGCUUGUAGGGCUAUACUCGUUCUUUAUCAAUUCGGCAUUGCUAAACACUGCCUUGAGGUUGAAGAGGAAGAGACACACCUCUCGUUCUCGCCGGGGUAGGUCUUCAAGGUAUCUGGGUUUUGGAAUUCGGGUUCCUUAGUCCAGUAUAGAGGAAACCCGUCCAGAAGGCUUGGAUCGCUAUCAUUGCAGCGGAUUUUGAAAAACUUACCCUUGAAGCCUUUGUAUGAUUGCAUGAAGAGGGUCAACAAAACUCUCCCAACAACCCCGUUAAAGCUCACCCACAUCUUCCGACCUGAUUUUUUGGCUUCGAAGAAGUAAAGGAAGACGUCCACUGAUAGCAGAUGGCCAAAGUGGUGGCACAAGAUGGAAAAUCCCCGAACAAACGCCCAUCUAUUUUAGUGUAGCUGGGUAGGGGCGGUGUUGAUCUCGGUGAGAAGGGCUCUUUCGAAACUAUGAAAGGGAAGGCGUAGAAGGAGUUUUUUGAAAACAGUAGAGUAGAUGAAGUAGAAUGGGCCAUCUAGGUCCGAUGACUCAUCACAGCAAACAGGUUCAUCUUCCAUACAAGGCAUAACCUUAACGAACUUGUCGUGCUCUUUGCCAAAAAGACAGUUCUUUUUAGGGUGCUCACUCUUCCUAUACAACAUUAUCCUCGCAUGGGGUGGUGAAUUCCGAGGUUUCCUAUAAAAGGUUACUAGAAGCCCAGGGGUAUAGGGUUUCGUAAUCCAUCUUACGAGGAAUCUAAAACAAAGAAAGAAAACAAAUGCAGUACUCAGAGGAGGAAGCGCAUGCGUUUUGAAGAAAGAAGUAAGGAAACAGAAAACAAAGGUAUUUACGGUCAUAGAUACGAGAAAUAUAAACAGUCCCAGCGCAGUUAUGAGCAGCUUAAAGGCAUUGAAAUGGCAGAAUGAAAGCAGUCAUAAGAUAAAAAACGCACCUUGAGAUGAUUGAGGAAAGGAGGCGAGGAGGCUUGUUUGGAGAGGUGAAAGCAGAGUGGUCAAAGAAAAGUGUUCAAAGAGAAGCACGAAGAUGGAAUGAAACAGUGAAGGGAGCGCAAGAAUUGAAGGGUUAACGUAUAAGGGAAGCGCAAGCGGCAACAUUUUCCAACCGUUGAUGAUGGCCACGUGUGCGCUUGUGAGAUAGUAUGGUGAGACGUCACCUCAAAACAAUGUGUGGGUCGCGUCAUUCAAAAGACACGUAAGUCGCCUUAGGCGAGAAGUUAGCCUUUUCACUGGAACAAGUUCCAGCUCGAGCCUGGGGGGCUUGUGUACUGGACCAGAGCGCCAGGCUCGGUGCUCAGGUGAUCGGACAUCGACACCUGUGUGGAACAAGUUAGCUCGGUGGUCUGGUCGAGUUAAUGGGUCACAUAAGUGGGACCUAAGAAUGCGUGUGUUGAAAUCCGUGUAUAUGUAAGGCCUAAUCAGCGAGAAAGUGCAUGUGGUGUGUAUAGUACAUUUGGGUCUACCACAAGUAAAUAUCACCUAAAGACGCCUAGGGUUUUCAGGGGUAAGCUGCAUGCAUGAUACGUAAAGGUUAGAGCGCCUACAGUGACAGAUGGGCCGCAUGAUGCUGGUACAUGAGUUGGUACCCUGGCGGCCAUGCUAUUAAGAUUAUGCACUCCAAGGAGGAAGAUUCUACGCGGUUGUUACACUAAGAUUGUGUGACAUCGUAACAGAAUGUCCUCCCAUCAGACCUACUUUCACUCAAGAUAAGGUUCUCGUGAGAGAAUGGUUGUUAUAAUGAAGUAACCUAAAAGUAGUCUAUAAAAGGGACUCGAGAUCCCUGGUAAAGGUACAUCGUUUCUAAGACUGAAACUACUUGCUUACUUACUCAUUGUUUCUUAGCCCAGUACUGACUAUAUCAUCAGAGUGUAAUCAACAUGUAAGGCCCCCUCUGUUUCAAAUGGAGCCGCGUUAUAACGUCCCAGGGAAAGAGAAAAUCCAGCAGAGGCAGACGGAGUCACAACCUGUUCCCAGAGUCAACAAGAACACUUAAAUUAGCGUAUCAAAAUAUUAUUUCAAUUAUUCUCCAACGGGAUUACUAGUAUAACUGGGCCAAACUCAUGACCCACCUUAUAGGCCCAAUAACCAAGCUGACCUACCCACAAUGUGCACCGAGCUCCGAUCACUGAGCACCGAGUACUCUGUCCAAUACAUAAGACCCCAAGCUCGAGUUGAGCUUAGCUGAGAGAAGUGGCUUUUCGAGUGCUCUGGUAGCUUACGUGGCAGUUCCUCAUUGGGUAGGUGUGGCGUGGCGCAUGAAGCGUUUCUGAGGUGACGUCUCGCCACACUCAAUCUUGAACGUACAUGUGACCCUUAUCAACGGCGGGAAAGCGUUGCCACUUGACAUUCCCAUAGACGUAUAAGCCAACGUUCAAAAACUCACUACCACUCACUGUUUCAUUUCUUUAACUCUUGCAAAACCCUCGCGCUCUUCGAACUUCCUCUGCACCCUCCUUCGAGCACCCAGAAACCUUUAUUGUCUUUGACUUACUUACUUUGCCUAGCCUGAAUAUGUGUGUUUGUAUUCUGCUUGUGUUUGUGUUUUUUUGAUAUACUUCUACAAUGGAUUACAAAGCUUUGUACCCCUAGGCACCUUCAAACCUCUUAUAGGAGACCUUCAUGUAUACCUCCCGUGAGCUUAUAAUGGCCCUUAGAAAGGGUGAAUGCAAGUUUAGCAAAGAGAAUGAUAGAUCUUUUAGGAUAAUCCCAUGUAGGGAGGAUGAACCCGUCUACUGUGAUGAGUCGUCGGAUCCUAAGGGUCCAUUCAGUUAUUUUUAUACCACCGUGUUUAAAAGGAUUCUUCUUCGUCUAUCCCCUGCCUAGCUACACCCAAACAACUAGGCAUUUGUUCGGGGCUACAUUAUCCUCUGCACACAAUUUGGCCUUUUUCCCAUCUGUUGAAGUCUUUUUGUAUUUGUUUGAGGCCAAACACCUAGGCUGUCAGCUUUGGGUAAUGAGGUGUCUGGAAGGGCACUAUUGUCACUCUUCCAACAGUCUUAUAAGGGCUUUAAAGGUAAAUUUUUGAAGAUAUGCUGCAACAAAAGGGAUCAAACCUUUCUGGAUGGGUUUUUAUUGUAUUGGACUGAAAAAUCGCGCUUCCAAGGUGCUCGGCGCCUGGAAGAUCUGCCUCAGCGCGACUAGGAGGCCUGCCAAUUCUUGUUGAGCUUAAAGGUGGUCUUCGAUACUUCCUUUCUCAUAAGCAGAGAGUUCACCCUCGGGGCUCUAAAGUCUUAUAUUGGUACUCUUCAUUCCCUACUCUUGAUAGGGCUAACUUUGCUAUUGUUGCUAACUACUUCUUGUCCUCUUUCGUAGAUAGUAUGUUGGCUAGGAUUGACAAGAAAGAGUAGGCGAACACGACCAAGAGGAUGAGGGCGGCUGCUCAAGUGCCUCAGGAUCUUAAGCUCAAAGCUCCAACCACUGUCGUUCCAGCCUCUACUGAAGAUGAUGAGGAAACGAAUUAUGGGUUGGUCUUCAAAAGUAAGAGGAAAGACAUAGCCGCCCCUAUCGAGCAUUCCCACUCAAAUGGGUGGGCUCCUUCCUACCGCGCUCCCUCAGCAAGUCCAACCCUGCCAUGCGACAUGAUGGUGGUGCAAGAGGAAGAGGGAAUGAGCUCCAGGGGAAAGGGUUUAUGGGACCUUGACUUGGACGUCCCCUCCUUCCUUGAGAAGACCCUUCUACCCAACGAGGAGAAGGAGAAACUCAUAACCCUCGAGGAAGAUCGCUUGGUGCACGAAACCAUGAGGCAACUGGGGCAAGCCCUUGCUGCAAGUUUCUUUCUCGUCACUAAGUUAAAAGAUUGGAGGGUCGGCGGGUCAAAAGGCUCAAGAGAUUGUUGAGCUCCAUAAAGGAAUGGAGAAUCUUCAAGCCAAGCUUCGGCAAUCCAAACUCCUACGCCAAGAAAUGGAGAGUCUUCAAGCAGAGCUUCAGCAAUCCAAACUGCUACAGAAGGAAACUGAAGCCCUAUUGACUGAGAAGGCUAAGGAGGCCUCGAGCUUGACUAAGGAAAAGGAGAAAGUCUUGGCAGAGGUUGAAAAGAUCAAGGAAGAACUAGCAUUAAAAGAUGAGGGCAUUGCCAAAGAGAAAGAAGCCUUCAAGAACGAUGCCCCUCAAUCCUACCUUGUAGGGUUUGACGAGGCUGUCGAGCAAGCCUCGGGCCUUCAUCCCGAAAUCAAUUUCUCCCAACUUGGCCUGGGUAAGACCGUGAUCAACAGGCAGCUUGUGGAGGAGUAGCCUAGUCUCCAUCUUUCAUGUAACUCAUAAUGCUUUGAACACUUUGAACAAUAUUGCACAUUUUCUUUUAUAAGCACUUUUUAUCCAUGCAUGUUAACAACAACUUUAUUUACUAAUCUAGCUAUUUAACUUAGUAAAUUUCGACUAGCGUAGCUAACGUAUACUUCAUUAUUUAACUUAGUGAAACAUGAUUAGCAUAAGUUUAAUAUCUAUUGAUAACAUACCAAUCAAAUACUUAUGCCAACCCUCCGAGCUAAAAUGACAACAGACUCAAUGUAUAAACCAAGUAUGAAAAAUCACGGUGCUCUUAAAGAACUAACCUUUUUAUGAACAUUUUUACCCCCUAAGCAGGAGUCAUAUACUUUGACCUUGCUAGCCAUGGCUUCACAUACUCGAAGAGCUGCACCUUUCUAAGCUUGGUCUUCUCAACCUGCGCUAAGAAUGAUUCAUCUAUCUUCUUGAAACAUCUAACCCAGGUGGUCGCUUACACACCAAGUCAACUCCAUUUUAGCCCAAACAAUCACCUUCACCACACAUUACUUAAUCACUCCACAAAGUGCUCGAAUUCAGGUGAUCGUCCUCUCGACAGACUACCCUGACUUCUUAGAUAAUUUAGUCUCAAUACUCAUCUGCAGAGCGCUCGAACUCGGGUGGUCAUACCGACGCCGAGGUAGGUCAUAUUACCUGCCUAUAGAUGACCAAUUUUUACAUAGAGCGCUUGCUCAGGUCAUCUCACCGAGAGAGGUUGAUAUGAAUCCACUAGCAAAGAAGAGAUGAUUCUUUGACAUUCUAUGGACUCAACUUGAGUUGGAGAUAGCUUAGGCACUUAUAAUAGAAUUGGAUCAAGGUUCUAUGUUUCAAGAACUCACCAAGACUUGCACCAAACACCAAACUCAUAUGGAGGAGCCAUCUAUUGUCAAUUGAACCGAACAAAUUGUGUAAAAAGGCAAAGACACCGAUUAAAACUCUUAAGAAAGCCAAUGAACCGAACAGAAUUAUGAAAAGAAGCUACUGAACUGGAUUAAAACAAAAUCAAAUGAAAACAACCGAACAAAAGUGCAAGGAAAGGAAGAUGAACCGAACAAAAGAAACUAAGACAUGUUUAAGCUUCAUAUAAAAUGGAGAUGAAAGAAAGAAGAACUUAUGGAGAUNNNNNNNNNNNNNNNNNNNNNNNNNNNNNNNNNNNNNNNNNNNNNNNNNNNNNNNNNNNNNNNNNNNNNNNNNNNNNNNNNNNNNNNNNNNNNNNNNNNNGGGUGGAUGUCCUCUUCCUUCAUUAAUAAAAGCCUCCUUUAUUUGAUUCUCAUCAUACUCCUCGAGUUGGAGAGAAUUCGUCCAUGAAUUAUGAAUCCCUGCAUAUAACAAAGUCAGUUUAUUUUUACAAUUAAAAGUGGAAGAAAAAGGUAAACAUGACUUAGCAUUUGUAAACAAUGGGAUUUCAGAAAAGGAGGUUCUAGAAAUCGACCAAGUUGGAAAAAUUUGUUUGGGAAUGAUGUUAUGUUUUGGAAAAAUACCUCUUAAAUGGUGACAACCAUUAGGAGGUAUGAACAAAUCAUCCCUAACAUUUUUUAACCAAGAUGGUGGUGAAGUAAGAACCUUUGGUAAUGAAAAAGAUAAGGAAGGAAAACACCUUGGAUGUGGAAGGAUAAGACCCAUGUCAAUUUGGCCUUCUCUGUCUUUUUCAUUUUUACUUGUGGUAGGUGGGUGAAUUAAGUCUUGUUUUACUUUGUUUAUCUUUAAGAUUUGCUUUUGUGGACAAUGAAGAGCUAUGUGCCCAAAACCUAAACAUUUAAAACAUUUGAUAUUUGAUGUUUUGGUAGGUGACUUAGGAGUAGAAAGAUUUGUAGUAGAAACAUUUUUUGGAAACAUGGUUUGUUUGGAAAAAUUGGAAGGAGAAAUAUAAGUAGAAAUUUUGUUUGCAUCCUUCCUAUAAGAGUUGUAGAAAUCAUCAUCAUGAGUAUUUUUGAAAGUUUUUUCCAAAAGAUAUGAUUCCACCUUGAUGGCUUUGCGAAACACUCUCUUUAAAGAAGAAUAUUCUUUUAAUUCUACAAAGUCUCUAAUAUCUCUUCUCAAACCACGUACAAACCAUUUAAUCUUUGACUCUUCAUUAGCAUGCAUAUUCAUUUUAGUCAAAGUUGUUUCAAAAUCUUUAAAGUAUUCAUCUACCAUCCUAUGUCCUUGAGGAAGCCUUUGGAACUUCAACAAGUGUUCCUUCCUAGAAGGAGGAACAAACCUCGCGCGCAUACGCUCUUUCAAAGCAUUCCAAGAAACCACGGGAGGUUUCUUGCGAUAUAUAAUGUCCAUUACAAUUUUAUGCCACCAUUCUUUGGCAUAGCCCAAAAAGGAUAAAGAAACUAACCUAAGUUUAUCGUCAUCUUGGACCUUAUACACAUGAAAAUAAUGGUCAACCUUAGUCUCCCAUUCUAAAUACACAUUAGGAUCACUAUCACCAUUAAAACUAGGGACUUGUCCACAAGAAAUGUUGAACACUUGGUGAUAUCUUUGGUCACGUGAUGUGAUUCCACUAGCCAUAUAGAGAAAGGUUCUUGACCUUCUUAGGAAUCACCUUGAGUUGGACAUUAUAGAGGCACUUUUCUUAGAGUUGGAUCAUUGUUCUAAGACAAGAACUCACCAAAAACUAGUACCAAAUCCCAAACUCAUUUGGAUGAACCAAUUAUAGUCAAAUUGAACCGAAUAAGGUGGAAGAAAAAGCAAUUGCACCGAACAUAUUACUUAUAGAAUGAAUUGCACCGAACAAAUGAGCUAGAAAAACAAAGGAACAAGAUGAAUGGGCUGAAAUAUAAAACUGCCGAACCAAAACUCAUAAAAAACAGCAUGAACACCAAACCAAAACUCAAGAACACAAGCUAACAAAAACAAUAGAAAGAGGAGGAAGGAAGGAGAAGAGAGUGCUCAUGAAGAUGGAAGGAUGUUGGAUGAUCUCGCCACUAGAAGUGUGGAAUGCUCCUAGAUAAGAGUGAUGCCGCCACUUGAGGACUCCAUUGAUCCAUCAAGAUAAGACUAGAGAAGAGGGCUCCAAAAGCUCUCCAAAGUUCACUCAAAAUUUGAGUAGAGUUUUCUUAGAUUAAUUCCAAUCUAAAUUUUACAAAGAGAGCACCUCUAUUUAUAGCCUAAGGUGCUGAAAAUGCAAGCUAAAACAAUUCAAAUUUCCCCCCUAAAUUCAAAUGCAAGUGGCGCCUAAACCAAGACAUGAGGAAGGUGUGAUCCCUUCUCUCACUUUGGCACCUCCUUAUUUACUCCUACACCUAUCUACUAACACACCCCCCCUAAGACUCCUAACUAAAGACUAAAAGAUGCUUUAACAAUAGAGGUUUCUAAUGUUUCCCUCUAAGCAGCUUUCUAAACAAUAUUUAUUUAAAACUUGGCCUUGCCCUUCAUGGGAUGGUCUUUGGGCUUUUGUGGGCUUUGGCCUUCUUGGGCUUGGGCUUUAUCUUUUGCAAAGAUUAACAAGAAAAGCUUUAAAUGUGAAGGCGAAUGAUCUUGUUCUUCAUUAUAAAAAGCCACCUUUAGUUGAUUCUCAUCAUCACGGUUAUGGCUCUCUUCAUAAGAAUGAUGGUGAUGCUUCCUUCUUCUAUGUUCCUCUUCACGGCCUUCUUGGGCUUGGGCUUGGGCUUUGGGCUUGGGCCUCAUCUUUAUUUUAUGUCUUCUUUUAAUUUUGAGAAGACUAGAAGGAAGAACUUCAAAUGUGAGGGUGGAUGUCCUCUUCCUUCAUUAAUAAAAGCCUCCUUUAUUUGAUUCUCAACAGAGGUCGCCUUACUUGCUUUACCUGAACCACAUUGAACUUUAGAGCGCCUGAACUCGAAGUCUUACCAAGAAAAGGUCGCCUUACUUGAAUCACGGAUAAACCACUCGUACAUAGAGCGCCUGCUUAGAUAAUUUCAUCGAGACAGGUUGUCUUACAUGGCAUUAAACAAUCAGUUAUACACACAUGGCGCCUACUCGGAUGAUCUCACCGAGGCAAGUCGUGUUAUCGUGAAUAAACAAUUCUAAUGCACCAUCUUUCAAGAACAAUUUUUCAUUGGGUGACCUCGUUAAAAAACCCUUUAAAGGGAAAAAUAGUGUCCCCUUAACCAUUACAUCGUUCAUAAAGAAAGCAUUAUCAAAAUGUAUUACUUGAAAUAAAAUUUAAGAUUCACCCCAUUCCAUGUUCGAGGUAUAGCUCCCCCCUCGAGGGUUUCAAGCCUGUAAGCUCCGUUCCCGAGCGCCUCUACUACGUGAAUGGGCCAGUCCACGUUGGAGAUAACUUAUUCUCCAGCUGAUAGGGGUGAGCCUUUCGCAUCACCAAGUCGGCAACCCGAAACUGACAAAGCUUUUACUUGGUCUUUUGCUCCACCCUUCUCUUCAAAGCCUCAAAAUUAAUGCAAGCUUGUUCAUGCACUUCAUGUAGCUGAUCCAGGUACACCUUCCUUCCUUAGUUUGACUCCUCAUUUAAUGUGGCCCUCUUGGAUCUCUACUAGUAUCAUGGUGUCUAACCCAUAUACCAAACUGAAGGGUGUCUCCUUAGUCGUUGACUGAUGAGUAGUGUUAUAAGCCCACAAAAUACGAGGAACUUCUUCCGACCAAGUUUCCUUGGCCUUCUCCAAUCUCCUCUUCAACCCUCUUAGUAAGACUUUGUUGGCAGACUCAACCUGGCCAUUCGUCUGAGGGUGUUCCAGCGAGGAAAAUAUCUGUUUGAUGUCGAGCUUCAUGCAUAGCUUGCAUAACUGUUGACUUGCGAACUGGGUUUCGUUGUUGGACACCAAGUGUCUAGGGAUCCCAAAAUGGCAUACAAUGUUCUUCCACACAAAAUGCUACACCUUGUGAGUAGUUAUUUGUGCGACUGGCUCGACCUCAAUCCAGUUUGUGAAGUGUUCAAUGGCUACCACGAGGUACUUCAGUUGAUGAAUUGCCAAAGGGAAAGGACCCAAGUUGUCUAUCCCUCAGGUAUGGAAGGGCCAUGGUAGAUGGAAUGCCACUCCUCAACUGCUGCGUGGUGCCAAUCAGCGUGCUUCUGACACUCCUUGCAUCGUUGUGCAUGCCUCAUGCAAUCCUUCUUCAUGGUCGGUCAAUAAUACCCAACUCGAACGAUCUUCAACGAGAGAGCUCUUCCUCCGACAUGACUGAUAAGUGCCUAAUUUCAGUAAUAUUUUAUAUUAAAAUAUAGGCACUUAUGAGGAUUUAUUGCUAAUUUACAUAUAAAAUAAUCCCUAAUUUAUGAAUUUAUACCUUUUUACAUUUUUAUGAGCUUUAUUUGAAUAAAAGCAUUUUAUUCCCAAAUUUGGUGUUAAUUGCAGAUUUCUAGGGAAGAUUGAAGAUUUGAAAUAAAGGAGAAUAAUUUGAGCUAAAAAGAUAAAGCCGGAAGAUCCCAGAAUGGAAAAAGAUGCAAAGAAAGAUUGAGCUUUUUUUAUGUUUUAUCAUUUAGCCCAUUAGCGCGACACAGGAAGCAACCUAACCCUAGAAAACUAGGAUAAAUAGAGGGCUAGAGGCUCAACCCUAGUGUGCCAGAUUGAGAGGAAAACACCAUAGAGUGAAUUGUAACCCAAUUGGGAGAAUGGAAGGUGCUAGAAGUAUGCGUGGCUAAUUCUACCUUUGGGAUUGGGAGUAAUCUGUUCAAACUCUUAUGUAUUGAGGUGAUAUCUUAUAUAUUAAUAUUCAGUUCUUGAUUGAUUAUUGGUAUUGUUGUUUUACUUUUAAUUUUCCGUGACAAGUUGAGAAUCUUAAAUAUGACCGGGAGGUAUUUUUAGGGUUCGGACCUAAACAACAAUACUUAACAUAUUUGAGUGCUAGGAAUAGACUUGAAAUGUUAAUUGCUAUUAAACGUCUGAGCUUCAUUCUAAGUUGUUCUUAUAAUUAUGCGAGGGAUCGAUAGUUAGGGGACAUUCUUAAGGAUUUUAUGUGCGAGGAAUCGAUAUAAAUGAUUUUUAUACGGGCAUCAAUUUCAAUCAAAGAACUUAAUAUUGACAUGCUAAUCAAAAUACUUGAGAGUGAGAGAGAUGAAACUAAUCCUUAUUUUUCCAAUUGAAACAACUAAUUCUUUGUCUGUUUUCUUAUUGAUCAGUGCCAACACAAUUAAUUCAAAACUCUUUUAAUUGUUCUGUUUUUAUAUUUAGCGAUUAUUGUACUCGAUAAUUCACGGUUCCUUGUGGGAUCGAUAUUCGUCCUUAGGGACAAUUAUUACUUCUGACAAACGUGGUGCACUUGCCUUAAAAAGUCAUCAAUGACUCUCACAAAUGCCUUCGUGGAGCUCCUUCAUGAUGCGGGUACACUGAUCCCCACUUACAUAAGUGAGGAUGGGUAGGUAUAACCAUGACGAAACAAUUUCCCAUCUACAAGGGUAUACUUCUCCUCAUUCCUCUUAAAUGCCUUUGCCUCUGUAGGUUCUGCAGGGAGCAUACCAUCAACUAGAUAGCGUUGGUAGGGAGUUAUCGAAGUCUUCAUCGUGUGGACCAGCAGGGCCUUCAGAGACUCAUCUCCCAACAAGUCAUAGGUGGUUAUUCUUGGCACUUUUAAGGUCUUCUGUGUCAACGACCGAUGCCUUCUCCCUUGUUGCGAGCUCACCCCCAAGAUCUUUACGCGGUUGUCCUCGGGUAGCCCCCCGACAGUUGUCCUAGGUGACUUCAAGGUCUCCAGAAUGACUGACCUCUGUCGGCCUCCCUUUCCCGAGCUUGCUAGUUUGGACAACAAGUCAUCUCGAGAGUUUUGUUCUCUUGGGACAUGCACUAGCUUAAACAUGGAGAAAGUUGCCUUCAGAAGUGAUCCUGCCGGUUGACUUAGCACAAGAGCGUUGCUUCGUCACCGUCUUCCCCACCAGCUUGUCACCACGUGUCCUCCAAGCCCAUACAGCAGAUAACCUCUCUGAGAACCUGAAAAACACACAGUGGCGCCUCGGCGGCCGGUGGCGCUCCGACGCUCAAGUUAGUGACAAGAACACCCAAAAAACUAAGAGAAAAAUAUGCUUUGUAGGACCGUACUGUAGGCACACAACCCUAGCAGUAUCAGCCGUAAUGAAAACGUACCUCUGCAAAUUCUGUUAAGGUUACCUUUAUAGCUAGGUUUCUUCUCUCUCCAGGCCGUUAUGCUUUUGGACGAGUAGCUCGCAUCCAGCCCUGCACGUGUCGCCAUCUGGGCUGGGAUAACAGGUAGCGCCCAGCCCUACACGUGUCGUCAUCUGAGCUAAGGCAACUUGAGCGUCAUUUCUCCAUCGCUCCCAACCCUAGACGUGUCUUCAUCUAGGUUGGAGUAACUGGUGACAUCCAACCCUACACGUGUCAUCAUCUGGAUUGGGACAACUUGAACGUGAUUCUUGUGUAGUAACCAGCCGCACAGCUAAGUCCUCAACUCAAGGAGCAACCUAGCACAUAAUGUGCUGUGAAACACCACCCGACAUGGCGAGUAUCGGAUGCAACAAAGUGCAUCAUCUCUAUGAUAUCGCUCGCCGCGAAUGGCACCCUCCUUACUGCUACGCCAUGCAUGUUCUAGCUGGGGAAACCUUGCCACCAACGAAUGUCCACUCUGGGAAUCCUGUCGCUGAUGUGCAAGGUGUUCCCCCCAACCCACUCGACCUUCAUGCCCCAUGCUGGUGCCACAAUCGUCUUACUGAACUUACACGCUUGGAAUUACCCUUCUGAGCCUUCAACAGCCUUAACUAAGUUCGCUGGGAGACCCGGCGAUGUGCUCCUUGUGGCGGCGUGUAAACCACCCGAUCUCCUAGCAUUCUCAUAUGGCGACUGCGACGUAACUCUGGUGACCGCCGGUUACGCACACUAGAGAUCGGAGAACGCCAAUUCAGCGAUCGGCGACUAUGCCCACUUCCGAGCCAUUCAUCUUUUCUAGCCUACGCGUUCCAUUGAGCACGCCCCACUCGAGCACGUGCAAGACACGUCAUCACGCCUGAUGACCUGGUCGGUACACAAGCCUCUUAGUCUCGAGCUGCGACUUGUUCGACGAGGAGACUAAAGAGGUUUAAAAUCCGGCAGCUUUCGUGACUUUGCGCGUUGGCGCUAGAACUGUUUACUGACUUGACAUUUCACCAACUCCUUCGAUCGUUCGACACAUGGACCCAUCAACGGCCAUUGUUCGCUGUCGUUUGCGCUUCCUACAACGUUCGAAACCCUUAAACCCUUCGCGCUAUUCACUGUUUCAUUAUCUUUCUUCACCUUCAAGCAUUCUGAACGCUCUCUCUGCGAACUGCGAAACCUACGCCUCCCUCAAUCUUCAACUUCUUUCAACACUCAUCUGAUCAUCAAAAGGUAACUCUUUUACUCCUUCUACUGAUACUUGUUGCAUUUUAAUCGGUUUGCAUCAUCCAUUAACUCUCGCUCGUUCGUUUUGUCUUCUUUGUCUUCGAUCGAGUCAUUCUUUUGCUAUCCUCAUUUCCUCCCUUUUCUUUCCUUUGCAGUUCCUGCGAUGGCUCAGACAAAGUCCACCGCUAACCCACCUUCCUCAUCGCGAAACCCUCCCCCCAAUACUCGUAGGGUUACCACUGGGACAAACCCUCCACCAACACGCAACCCCCCACGAGCCUCUGGUGCCCCUUCCUCACACGCUGAGAGGCCUGCCUCAUCCCGUGCCAAUCUUACCCAAGCAACUCCACCACAGGCCGGGGGAGUCUCCCUUCCUUCUCAAGACUACAAAAAGCUCUACCCUUGGGCCUCCCCGAUUCUACUGAAGGAAACUUCAUCGAUAAAUACUGAUGUGGGGGUACAUCGNNNNNNNNNNNNNNNNNNNNNNNNNNNNNNNNNNNNNNNNNNNNNNNNNNNNNNNNNNNNNNNNNNNNNNNNNNNNNNNNNNNNNNNNNNNNNNNNNNNNNNNNNNNNNNNNNNNNNNNNNNNNNNNNNNNNNNNNNNNNNNNNNNNNNNNNNNNNNNNNNNNNNNNNNNNNNNNNNNNNNNNNNNNNNNNNNNNNNNNNNACCAAGCUCAACAUCGCCCCUGCCCAGCUCCAUCCCAACAGCUGGGCAUUCGUGAGGGCGUUCCAGAUCCUUUGCGCGCACUUGGGGCUACCAUCUUCGGUGGAUGUCUUCCUCUUUUUGUUCGAGGCAAAGAAUCCUGGAGAUCGCCCCUGGGUCAGCCUGAACGGGAUUGCUGGGAGGUCAAUCCUCUCCAUCUUCCAGCAAUCCUACAAAGACUGGAAGGGGAAGUUCGUCAAGGUGUGCCAGAAUGAUCAAGACCCUUCACUGCUUGACAGCUUCCCCUUGUAUUGGGUAAACAAGGGGCACAAGGACCCCAAAGACAACUUCAGGAGACCAAGAAGUCCUGACAACAUGGGGGAGUUGGACAAAGACCUUUGUCUCUUCUGGAAGAGUGUGGCUUCUGCCAACAUCACCUUCCCCACUGCUCAGAUAAUCUCCUUUGAAUUCCUUGAGGACCAACUCGAAAUGUACAUAGGUUAGCCCCUUUCCCAACACCAAAACUCUCACUUUGCGUUAAAACUGACUUAGCAUUUUUACCAUUCUGUCUUCGGCAUUCCAUUAUUCUUUAUUGGCCUUGAUCAUUCAUCCAUGUGCUAUUCGCUUAUGUUAUCUUUGUAUGUAUAUACUUGCAUGUUCUGCUUCCACUUGAGUUACUCAUCUAUUUUUACCUUGUGCAGACGCAAUGUUGGGCAAAGGAAAACUGGCUGAAUUGAGGGCGAUCGCCCGAUCCCACAAACUUGCGGCGGGCUCUCAAACGAUCCCGAACUCUGUUGCGGAGAUCGCCGCCGCCCAGGGCCAAUCCCCACCAGUUGGUCCACCCGCUGCUGUCGCUCUUCCAGCCCCCCUACGCAAAAAACUACCUCUUAAGAAGGCCAAAAGGAAAGCCCCUAGGGUAGUAUCUGACGAAGAGGCGGACGAAAGCACCGAGGACGGGCUAAUCUGCAAAAGGUCCAGGGUGGCGGUUACCGAGCCCUCAGCAAUUGGGAGCGCCGCUCCAAACUUCAUCGAGGACCCCCCCAGCGCCUCCACACCAUUCGAGUCCGCUGGGGAUGUUCUCGUUUCAAACGCUUCAGUUGCUGAGGCCGCUCCUGAGCAACUCGCUGAUACGCAAGCCUCCUCAGAAGCUGCCGAGAAGCUGCGUGCCUUACCACCACGCCUCGAAGCUCCCCCCGCCGUCCAACCUUGUGAGGGUGGUGGUGAACACCAACCUUCGCCUCCACCAGCAAAUUCAGGCCUCCCAGCCGCUCUUCAAGAAGCUUUCAAGUCCUUCACCGUGUGCCUAAGUGCCAUGGUUGACGAUUGUCUUCCCCAAAUCAUCGGCGAAGGGCUCAAAGACUCCUUGGAGAAGUUUGAGCUCGACAACCGGAUCAACCAAGAGGUGACAAGCACCGCGAAAGCUGAAGCCGAAAAAACCAAGUGCGACAUGAUGAUGCAAGGCUUGGAGUUUUUACGAGUUGAAAACGCCCUCAAGGACGAGCUCCAGAGCGUGCGGCAAGAUAACAAAGAGCUGCGCAAGAAGCUUCAUGAAAAACUCCAAGACGCUGUCGAGCUGGAGAGCAAGAUCGUCCCUCUGAGGGAGAAAAUUUCCGCGCUGGAGGAGGCAAAGAAGACUGACGCUCAGAAGAUGGUCAACCUAGAGAAGAGGUCAAUCGAGAGAGAGACCCUUAUGGGAAAGGUUGAGCAAGAUCGUGAUAAGGCCUCCCAAGAACUCAGUGAAACUGCUGCUGAGCUAGCUCGAGUUCGCGAGGAGAACAGCGAGCUCAAGAAGAAGGCCGACAAGCUCGAGCUUGAAGUCACCCAGGUUCGUGAAGAGAACAGUGGGUUCAAGACGAAGAUCAACGAGCUUCAGCUUGAGGCUGCCCAGGUUCUAACUUCCGGCUUUGGCGUUGCUUUAGAGCAGUUUGCUUGCAAAUAUCCUGACCUCGAUCUUUCUGAGUUCUCGGUGUACAACGAAGUGGUGGACAGCAAAAUCGUGCCCCCGAUUGACUUAUCUCCUUGAAAACUCUUAUGCUUUACCUUGGUCUGUAAUAAUUUUCAUUUUGUUCAAACUGUUCGAUGCUCGUAUGCACAUAUAUACAUAUAUAUAUAAUCUUCUAAUUUAUCUGCUGCACAAUCAACUGGUUUAACUAACAUAACUGGCGAAACUUACUCGGCUGCAUGAACUCAGCAAUACUUGAACUUAACCCUUCACAUACCGCUUCUGACUCGAGUAAAUUGCUAACCUUAUGACAAACUUAGCGAGCUAUUAACUCAAAGUAAAUUUGAGCAGCAAUCAACUCUCCGGCAAUGGCACUCAAUAAAACUUGUGAACUUAGGGUAACAAACCUUAACAUAAAAUCACUUACUAUGCAGCAGGUUUUAACUCAAACUAGUAUUAAAAUACAGUUUACCUGAUCUGCUAAGUGAAGUGCCCAUUACUUCCCUCAUUGCCUGGAACUCUUCUAGUCUGGCACUCGCCAUACAACCCCUCCACUGUCUCAACCUUCACGCCAUAGGGUUCUGGCGAUGUUACCUUUCUUCUUUGUAUAACUUGAUCAUUGUUCUCUCAUCUGGGGGUAAAGGCGCCUUUCGGAUCCUUCUCUACCUCCUGAGUUUUAGAACAAUGAUCUGGAUAGCGAGGUGUUCUCUUCGAACCUACCUCAGUUAUCCUUUAUCUUCUUCCACCCUUCACACCGCACCUGAGAUCGUUCAAGACGAGAAGGAUUUUAUCUAUCUUCACACCGCCCGCAAGUGCGGAAGCUUUAUAUGGUCUUACUGGGUCAAUAUUGAUGUUUCACUUAAAGGGGAAAAAGGCGUUUUCCAUCGACCUUCCCUUCUUGCCGUUUAAGGUCACAAACACCCCUGACUUUUCAGUUUCAUCUUGCCUGAACUCACUCUGGGGUGAGAAGGACUUUCUCUGGUGCCUCAACUUGCCCAGGGUGUACAUCUCCUCCCCCCUGGAUGCACUGAGGACUUUUAAUCUUGCCUCAAUCUACUUAUGCAAAGAGGCCUUUCAAUCUGUUCUUGCCUUCACUCGCUCAAAGGCGAGGAGGACUUCUUCUAUUUCUCGCCUGCACUCGCUCAAGGGCGAGGAGGACUUCUUCUUUUGCCUUAAAAUGCACGAGGGCGUUGAGGGCUUUUUACACUACUGGUGCCUCCGAUCGCCGAAAGACGAUGAGGUCUUAAAACUUUUAACUGUUGUCACCGAUCGCCAAAAACGACGGGGACUUUAAAACCUUUACUACUGAAGCAUGCAAUAUGACUUUAAUGUUGCCCUAGAUCACGUACGAGUGAUAAGGUCCUUUUUUUUCUAAAACUUUCGAAGCAAUAAGCAUGCAAACUUGGAAGCUUUAAACUUGAAAAACUCUUCUUUAUUGGGUGGCCUCAUUAAAAACCCUCCUUAGGGAAAAAAGAGUGCCCCCUUGAAAUUGUUUUAACAGAAACUAUUCCAAUCUCGUCAUGUUCGUCUUUACUUACAAGGCUUUAACUGUAAUACAACUUGAGAUGUGUGGCGUUCCAAGUGCGAGGAAUCGCCCCUCCUUCUAACGUCUCCAAGCGGUAGGCGCCAUUCCCGAGCACCUCGGUUAUUCUGAAUGGUCCCGUCCACUUAGGCGACAACUUGUUCUGCAUCUCAUACUGAUGGGCCUUCCUCAUCACCAGAUCGCCACUUCUAAACUGCUUUGUCAUUACCUUAGAGUUGUACCUUCGCUCAAUUCUUCUCUUUACUGCUUCGGCCUUCACUCUCGCCUCCUCCCUGACCUCAUCCAGCAAAUCCAGAUUCAUUCUUCUUUCUUCGUUCGAGUCUUCCGCCACAAAGUUCUGGAAUCUCGGCGAGCUUUCCUGGAUUUCGACUGGAAUCAUCGCAUCACAUCCAUAAACCAAACUAAACGGGGUCUUGUGGGUUCCUGACUGCUCAGUGGUAUGGUAUGCCCAAACUAUGCGGGGUACCUCUUCAGCCCACGAUCCUUUAGCUUUUUCUAAUCUUCUCUUUAAACCUCUCAGCAACACCCGAUUGGCAGACUCCACUUGGCCAUUCGUCUGUGGGUGCUCGACGGAUGCAAACACCUGUUGUAUUCCCACCUCUUCGCACAACUUUUUCAAAAGGUGACUUACAAACUGAGUCCCAUUGUCUGACACCAGGCGUUUAGGCACACCAAACCGGCACACUAUGUUCUUCCAUACAAAGCUCUCGAUCUUGUGUGCGGUGAUCUGGGCCACUGGCUCCGCUUCGAUCCACUUGGUGAAGUAUUCGAUCGCCACUACCAAGUACUUCAUCUGCCUGACCGCCAGUGGGAAGGGUCCCAAAAUGUCAAUUCCCUAAGUAUGAAACAGCCAGGGGCUGUAAAUUGACUUCAGCUCUUCUGGGGGUGCCUUGUGCCAAUCGGCUUGCUGCUGGCAUUGCUUGCAACGCUGGGCGUAUUUCUUGCAAUCUUCUCUCAUCGUGGGCCAGUAAUAGUCUGCACGGAUAGUCCUUGUCGCCAGCGAUCGACCUCCAAUGUGGCUCCCGCAAAUUCCCUCAUGGAGCUCAGCCAUAAUCCUCGUGCACUUCUCUCCGUGUAUACAUACAAGAAGAGGGUGUGUAAAUCCAAACCUGUACAGCUCGCCGUCAAUAAGGGUAAACUUGCUGGAGCUCUUCUUUAUCCUUCUGGCCUCAGUUGAGUCAACUGGAAGCACACCAUCUGCUAAAUAACGUUGGUAAGGCGUUAUCCACGUGUCUGGUUCGUGGACAGCGCAAACCUGCAUCGGUCUUGCCCUUUCCGCUGGGCGCGCUCUAACCCUCGGCACCCUCAGAGUUUCCUACGUUAGGGAUCUAUGACUUCUCGCCGGUCUUCCCAUUGAUCUACAAACAUGGAGAACUUGGUGGUCUGCCACGAAUGCUCGAGGCGCUUUCAAAGUUUCUUGAAUGACAGUCCUCUGCCUGCCCCCUUGCCCGAACUGGCGAGCUUGGCUAGCAAGUCAACUCGAGCAUUCUGCUCUCUUGGCACGUGCACCACUUCAAAUGACAUGAAAGAUCUCCUUAGCUCUUGCACGUACUCCAAGUAGGCUGCCAUUUGUGGGUCCUUGGCUUGGAACUCGCCAGUUACUUGUCCGGUGACCAACAACGAAUCGCUCUUGGCCAUCAGCACCCUCGCCCCCAUUUCCUUAGCCAGCAGAAUUCCGGCGAUCAAAGCCUCAUACUCUGCUUGGUUGUUGCUUGCUUUGAAAGCAAACCUCAAUGAUUGCUCUAUCAACACUCCGUUGGGCCCUUCCAAAAUGACCCCCGCCCCGCUGCCCAGCUGGUUGGAUGACCCAUCAACUGAGAGUACCCAGCGAAAGUCACCCUCGGCGUUCUGUGCCACCUCAGAGGACAACUCGACCACGAAAUCGGCGAAAACUUGUCCUUUGAUCGAUCCCCGGGGUUCAUAUCUGAUGUCGAACUCCGAAAGAUCGACUGCCCACUUCACCAUCCUUCCAGCCACAUCGGGCUUCUUCAAAACCUUCUGGAUUGGCAGAUCGGUCAUGACCAGUACCGUGAAGCUCUGGAAGUAAUGGCGCAAUCUCCUCGCCGAGAAUACAACCGCCAAUGCUGCCUUUUCUAGGGCCUGGUACCUUACCUCCGGGCCUUGCAACACCUUGCUAACGAAAUAUAUAGGCCUUUGGAUCUGAUCCUGAUCUUGCACCAGCACUACGCUGAUCGCCCUCUCAGUUAUGGCAAAGUACAGCCCGAGCGGUGUCAUGAGUUGGGGCUUGCACAGAACUGGAGGGCUCGCCAAAUAUUCCUUGAGCUUUACGAAGGCCUCCUCACACUCCUUUGUCCAAACAAACCUGUGGUCCUCUUCAAACAUUGGAAGUAUGGGUGGCCCUUCUCUCCGCUUGCCGAUACGAAUCGGGACAGGGCGGCCAUCCGCCCUGUGAGUUGCUGCACCUCCUUCACAUUGGCGGGGCUCCUCAUUGCCAAAAUGGCGGCGCACUUCUCGGGGUUAGCCUCAAUUCCCCUCUCUGACAGGAGAAACCCCAGAAAUUUCCCUGCUUCUACACCAAAAACGCACUUUUCAGGAUUCAGUUUUAGCUUGUACCUGGCUAUCGUGAUGAACAACUCUUCCAAGUCUGCGACGUGCUUGUCUUUCUCCAGGGACGUCACGACCAUGUCGUCGAUGUAUGCUUGUACAUUCCUUCCGAGCAUGGGUGCAAGCACCUUGUCCAUCAGCCUUUGGUACGUAGCCCCUGCAUUCUUCAACCUGAAGGGCAUUAACUUGUAGCAAUAACAUGACCUUUCCGUCAUGAAGGCGGUCUUCUCUUCGUCCAUGGGGUGCAUUUUGAUUUGGUUGUACCCCGAGAAGGCAUCCAGAAAACUGAGCAGCUUGCACCCUGACGCACUGUCUACCAGGGCGUCUAUGAUUGGCAAAGGGUAAGAGUCCUUCGGGCAGGCCUUGUUCAGGUCCGUAAAGUCAACGCACAUCCGCCAUUUUCCGCUGCUCUUCUUGACCAGGACAACAUUAGCGAGCCAUUCUGGAUAUUGGAUUUCCCUGAUGUGGCCUGCUGCAAGGAGUUUCUAUGUCUCUUCUUUGAUCGCCUGCCUCUUCUCCUCAUUGAACUUUCUUCUUCUUUGGCGUAUCGGCCUGAUCUAGGGGUCCAUUGCCAAACGAUGGCACAAAAAAUCGGGAUCGAUUCCCGGCAUAUCUGAAGCAGCCCACGCAAACGCAUCCAAGUGUCUACUUAUCACCUUGGCGAUUUGGUCUUGCGUCUUGCUAUCCAGGGUCCUUCCCAACUUAAACACCUUGCCGCUGAUCUCCUUCUCGAGCCAUUCCUCUACUGGCUGAGAUUUCCUUUUGCUGGCGAUCAGCGCUCUCGCGAUACCGAUUUCUCUGGCGAUUUGUGAGCAGUUUCUUUCUCCCUUCCCGCUCUCCGGCCUCCCCUCUACACUCCCCAUCGGCACAUCACCCUCGGCGACCACCUCUAACGCCGAAUCCGAAACUCGCCGGGGUUCGCGCUCUGGCUCCACGCCAGGGGGAGGCGUUGUGGUUACGUGGCACACAGACCUCUUGUUCUUGAGGCUGUUUUCGUAACACUUCUUCGCCUCCUUCUGGUCGGAGCAAAUAGUGAUGAUCAUGCCCUCCAUAGAAGGCAGCUUGACCUUCAUAUGCCUUGUCGAAGGCACAACUCCUGUUCUGUUGAGCGUUGGCCUUCCCAACAGUAUGUUGUAAGCUGACGGGGCGUUUACAACAAGAUACCUGAUCUUCUCCGUUCGUGAGGCCAAGCCGUCAGUGAAGGUCGUCCUCAGCUCGAUAUACCCCCUCACCUCCACUUGGUCGCCGGCAAAACCGUACAAGCAGCCCCCAUAUGGUCUUAGUUGAUCAGGGGACAGUUGUAACUUCUCAAAAGUUGGCCAAAACAUCACAUCUGCUGAGCUUCCUUGGUCGACCAGCACCCGGUGGACGGUCCUUCCCGCCGUGACAAGCGAGAUCACAAUAGGUUCGUUGUCGUGAGGCACCACGUUCCUGAGGUCCCCCUUGGUGAACGUGAUGUCCACGUCGAGCGAAUGAUCCUCAAAGAUUUCCACUGACAUUUCCACCCCCCGCCGGAGAAUCCGCCAGCUAUGGUGUGGAUCUCGCCGUGAAUGGGCACCUCGUGUUGUUGCCCUCCGCUGCUUGCCGGUUGAGACCCUGACGCUUGGUCCGCUUGCUUCUCUAGCAAGUAAUCCUUCAGGAAACCACAUUUGACCAGCUCGGCGAGCUGGUGUCCUAGAGCCAAACACGAGUUGAUAGAGUGGCCAAAACUCUUGUGGAACUCGCACCAUGCGUCUGGCUUUGGCCCCAAAAUCUUCUCCGUCGUUUUCUCAGGCACUUUGAGCUUGGCAACAAUGUUUGGGAUGGCGAUCAAAUCAGCCAAACCCAUUACAAACUCAUACCUUGGGGGGCGAUUACUCUCCCUGGGGCGCCCUGGUCCCUCGCUCUUAUUUUUGUUAGGGUCGUAAGGAUGGCGCGUCCUUUGAUCCCUCUUUCCCGCCGCCGUCUCCGUUACCCUCUGCGGUUGUACCCGUGCUUGGGCGCGCGGUUUAGUUGGGGCCACGUUUCCCCUCUUCUCGGUGACCUCACUUUCGGCGGCGAUGUGAGCCACAACACGUUGUCGGAUUUCAGCAAACGUGGCGGGGUGGCUCCUGAUGAGCGACUCAAUAAAAGGCCCAGGUAACACGCCCUUUUUGAAGGCAUGCACGAACAUCUCUUCGUCCUUUCCGGGCAAACGGACUAUCCGAGCUCCGAAUCUGUUCAGGAAAUCCUUCAGGGACUCCACUUGGUACUGCCUUAUAUCAAACAAGUCGUAAGACACCAAAGGUGGCGCCUUGUUCACUAUUUACUGCUCAACAAACAUCUUGGAAAACUGUUCGAACGUGGUAAUGUGGCCAGUGGGUACACUGACGAACCAAUCCAACGUCGUUCCGCUCAAAGUGCUCAUGAACACCUUACAAUACACCGCGUCUGAGCCCCCUGAGAACAUCAUCUGAGUAAAAAACGCCGUGAGAUGGGCUUCAGGGUCCUCCACCCCAGUGAAAGACGCUUUCACUACCACAGUGUUAGCCGGGAGCACCGAGUCCAUGAUCUCUUGGGAAAAUGGCAUAGGAAAGCUGCAUGGUGGGGAUGGGGGUGCAGAUCUGUCCCCAGCCGCACGCUCCUCCCGCUCCUGAAGGGCUUUGCGCAGCUCUUCGUUGAUACUGUUGAGCUCUUUGUUCCUUGCUUGCGAGGCCACCAGCGCCUCGUGCAUCCUUUCCUGUUCAGAACGUGAUGCAGCCACGUUCUCCUGCAGCGUCCUCAUCAUGUCCAUCACUUGCGUCAUAGACACAGCAUCUUCGUCUGUUGAUGGCGCAACUGAACUGGAGCGUGUUGUCCUCAUCCUUCCUCAGCAAACUCAACAGUUCAAAGAACUCCAAACAAACGGUGAAAACUCCAGGAAUCGACUGCGAUAGCGAGCAGUCGAACAGGAAACACCAAAACACCACAAACACGAACUAUGGUUGGGAAUCACCUUUUAUACGGCCCCACGGUGGGCGUCAGAUGAUCCUGCCGGUUGACUUAGCGCAAGAGCGUUGCCUCGUCACCGUCUUCCCCACCAGCUUGUCACCACGUGUCCUCCAAGCCCACACAGCAGAUAGCCUCUCUGAGAACCUGAAAAACACACAGUGGUGCCUCUGCGGCCGGUGGCGCUCCGACGCUCAAGUCAGUGACAAGAACACCCAAAAAACUAAGAGAAAAAUAUGCUCUGUAGGACCGUACUGUAGGCACACAACCCUAGCAGUAUCAGCCGUAAUGAAAACGUAUCUCUGCAAAUUCUGUUAAGGUUACCUUUAUAGCUAGGUUUCUUCUCUCUCCAAGCCGUUAUGCUUUUGGACGCGUGGCUCGCAUCCAGCCCUGCACGUGUCGCCAUGUGGGCUGGGAUAGCAGGUAGUGCCCAGCCCUACACGUGUCGUCAUCUGAGCUAAGGCAACUUGAGCGUCAUUUCUCCAUCGCUCCCAGCCCUACACGUAUCAUCAUCUAGGUUGGAGUAACUGGUGACAUCCAACCCUACACGUGUCAUCAUCUGGAUUAGGGUAACUUGAACGUCAUUCUUGUGUAGUAACCAGCCGCACAGCUAAGUCCUCAAGUCAAGGAGCAACCUAGCACAUAAUGCGCUGUGAAACACCAUCCGACAAGGCGAGUAUCGGAUGCAACAAAGUGCAACAUCUCUAUGAUAUCGCUCGCCGCGAAUGGCACCCUCAUUACUGCUACGGCAUGCAUGUUCUAGCUGGGGAAACCUUGCCACCAACGAAUGUCCACUCUGGGAAUCUUGUCGCUGAUGUGCAAGGUGUUCCCCCCAACCCACUCAACCUUCAUGCCCCAUUCUGGUGCCACAAUCGUCUUAUUGAACUUACACGCUUGGAAUUACCCUUCUGAGCCUUCAACAGCCUUAACUAAGUUCGCUGGGAGACCCGGCGAUGUGCUCCUUGUGGCGGCGUGUAAACCACCCGAUCUCCUAGCAUUCUCAUACGGUGACUGCGACGUAACUCUGGUGAUCGACGGUUACGCACGCUAGAGAUCGGAGAACGCCAAUUCAGCGAUCGGCGACUAUGCCCACUUCCGAGCCAUUCAUCUUUUCUAGCCUACGCAUUCCAUUGAGCACGCCCCACUCGAGCACGUGCAAGACACGUCAUCACGCCUGAUGACCUGGUCGGUACAAGAAGCAUAACAUACCUGAGGUACGAGGCUAACUGCGGAUCCUUAGCCUAGUACUCACCUAUGACGUGCCCGGUAACCAACAACGAGUCACUCUUCACCAACAAACUUUGAGCACCCAACUCCUUGGCCAACAAUAUCCCUAUCAAGGCUUCGUAUUCAGCUUGGUUGUUGCUUGCUUUGAAGGCAAACCUCAGGGCUUGCUCGAUUAACAACCCGCUUGACCCUUCUAGAAUGACCCCAUCUCCAUGCCGUGUUGGUUAGAGGAUUCCUCCACUGAAAUGACUCACUGGAAGUCAUUAGGAUUUGGUUGAGGACCCUUAGAUGACAACUCUACCAUAAAAUCAGCAUACAUUUGGCCCUUGAUAGGCCCUUGGGGUUCAUACUGCAUAUCAAACUCAGACAACUCAACUACCCAACGGACCUUCCGACCUGUUAUGUCGGGCUUUUGGAGGACGUUGCGGAUGACCAAAUCAGUCAUCACUAUUACAGUAAAGCUGUGGAAGUAGUGGCAGAGCCGCUGAGUUGUGAAUACCACUGCCAAAACGACCUUCUCAAUGGCCUGAUACCGGGUUUCUGGCCCUUGCAGCACCUUGCUCACAAAGUAGACCGACUUUUGGACCCUAUCUUGCUCUUGCACAAUGGUCGAGAUGAUUGUUCGAUCUGUGAUCGUAAAAUAAAGACGAAUGGGAGUACCUGGCAACGACUUACAAAGAACAGGUGGGCUGGCCAAGUACUCCUUCAACCUGGUGAAGGUCACUUCACACUCACGAGUCCAUACAAAUCGGUUAUUCUUCUUCAAGCAUUGAAAUUAAGGAUACCCCUUAUCUCCUCUAACGAACAAGAAUCGAGACAAGGCAACUAUACGUCCAGUUAACUGCUGGACUUUCUUCAAGAUGACAGGGCUUCUCAUUCCUAUGAUUAUCGCGCACUUGUCGGGCUUCGCCUCUAUACCCUGUUCAGCGAGAAAAAACCCAAGGAACUUCCCUGCUUCCACCCCAAACACAUACUUUUCUUGGUUCAGCUUCAAGUUGUACUUUGUUAUCAUAGUGAAUAGCUCUUCUAAAUCAACAAUGUGUUGAUCCUUCUCUUCUGAUGUGGCGACCAUGUCGUCCACAUAUGCCUGCACACUUCGCCCAAUCAUUGGGGCGAGAAUUAUGUCCAUCAACCUAUGAUAAGUGACACCAAUAUUCUUGAGGCCAAUGGGCAUGACCUUAUAGCAGUAGUUAGAGAGCUCGGCCGUGAAGGAAAUCUUACUCUUACCCCUGGGGUGCAUACGAAUCUGGUUGUACCCCGAGAACGCGUCUAGGAAACUCAACACUCAACAACCUGAGGGACUGUCCACCAAGGAAUCUAUACUUGACAGUGGAUAAGAGUCCUUGGGACAGGCCUUGUUUAGGUCGGUGAAGUCGACGCACAUCAUUCACUUCCCAUUAGCCUUUUGUAUCAACACAACGUUACCCAACCACUCAGGAAUUGGAUUUCCCUUAUGUGGCCAGAAUUCAGAAGCUUCUGCGUCUUUUUUUUUAUGAUCAGAUGCCUUUCCUUAUUGAAUUCCGUCUUUCUCUGGACUACCGACCUGACCUUUUCAUCCAUAGAGAGCCUAUGGCAUAAAAAAUAUGGUUCUAUCUCGGGCAUGUCCACGGAUGACCAAACGAAAGCAUCCAUGUGCUUCGAUAUUACCUCGACUAUCUUGUCCUGCAAUUCUUGACAUAUCGACGUGCCGAGCUUGAACUUCUUGCCUCCUAUUUCCUUUUCCUGAACCUCACCAGCAGGUCCAGGUCGCCUUUCAUUGGCGAUUUCAGCUUGCAUAAUUUCUUCUAGCUCUUCCGCCUGAACAGUGAUUGAGUAUGUUCCCCUUUUACUUUUCAAGAUACUCUCAUAACACUUCCUUACCAUCUUCUGAUCAAGCUUGAUGAUGAUCACUCCUUCAUCAGGGAAGGCAACUUCUUCUUCAUGUGCCUCGUUGAGGACACUGCAUCCAACCUGUUCAAAGAGGGUCUUCCCAAAAGCAAAUUAUAAGCUGAAGAAGCAUUAACUACAAUGUACCUGACGUUAAUCAUCCAAGCUGAGGUGCCAUCUGAAAAAGUUGUCUACAACUCGACAUAUCCACGUACUCUCACCUGAUCUCCCGCAAAGCCAAACAAGCAACCAUCGUACGACUUUAGCUGGUUAGAAGACAACUGAAAAUUAUUGAAUGUCGACCAGAACAUCACAUCAGUUGAGCUUCCCUUAUCAAUGAGAACUUAUUGUACCUUUCUUCCAAUAAAAAGACAUAUAUCACCACCGAAUCAUCUUCGUGAGGGACCACAUCCUCCAAGUCAGAGCUCAUAAAGCAGAAGGCGGGCUCUAGUGGAUGGUCAGGUUUCCUCGCCUCAACUAUCAUCACUUCUCUCGCGUAUCUCUUAUGCUUGGAGGUAGUGCACUGUCCUCCCAAGAAUCCUCCCGAGAUGGUGUUCAACUCUCAAUGGAUCGGUACCUCAUGCACUUGGUCCCUAAGAGCAACCUCUUCCUUCGAGACUUCCUGGUCCCCCUCAAGGUAUUCCUUUAAGAAUCCUUCCUUCACCAAACAUGCCAAAUUCCCCCUCAAGGUAACCUAGAGCUAUACAUCGCUCAACAUCGUGCCCAAAUUCCAUGUGGAAUUCGCACCAGACCUCCCUUUGUGGACCAUGAUUCCUGUCAUACUUCUGAGGGAAUUUCUACUUUUUUACAACCCCUGAUAUGCUCAACAAUUCCUUGUAAGACAUUUGGAAUUUAGGUCGAAAUGGAAAAUCUUCUCAGGCCUUCGCCUUGGGGACGUUCUUCCUGGUUGGAUAUGGUGCGCGCCUCAAGUCCGUCCUCUUCUCGGUUGUGGUUUCGUUGACCCUUAGAGGUCGAGAUCGGCUACCCUCCUUAGGUUUUAAGUACCUGGAUAGGUGUUGCUAAGCUUCACAGACACUGCCUCCUUCGCAUUAAUGUGGGCGACAACUUGUCGUCGUAUUUCGACAAAUCUCUCUACCAGAUUUCUGAUCAAUAAGUCACUAAAUGGUCCUGCCAUGACUCCCUAUUCGAAGGCGUUGACCAUCAGGGCCUCGUCAUGGGUCUGGAGCUUCAUUGUAAACGCCCAUAACCUGUUUAAAUAGUUUUUUAGAGACUCACCAUGUCUAUGUUUCACGCUGAAGAGAUCAAAUGAAAUCGGAGGUUUUGCUUGGUUGAUAGAGAACUGUUCCCUGAACAGCUCGGAAAAUUGGUUGAAGAAGGUGAUGUGGCCAUUAGGAAGCCCACUAAACCACUGUAGGGUUGUACAUGUGAAUGUACCCUUGAACAUCUUGCAAUCGAUAGAAUCUGUUCCCCCAGAAAUAAUCAUUUGGGCAUUGAACAUCGUAAGAUGGUUUUCAGGGUUUUCUACUCCUUUGAAACGAUCUUAGGCGUAAUGUAGUGUGGUAGCACAGGCGACUCCAUGAUCUCCUGCGAGAAUGGCUUGGGACGAGCUAUCGGGGGCGCAUUAGAACCUCGCUCCCUUGUAAAGCGUUGAUCAAGUUGUUGUAGAUUCUUGCGCAAUUCAUCAUUGGCCUUGCGCAAUUCCUUACCGUUCUCUCGUGACGCAUCUAUCUCCGGCAUCAGUUGAUCUUGCCUAAGAAUUUUCUCAACUCUAGCUUUUUCAUAAGCUUUUCCUGUUCGGAUUUAGCCUCGGUCAUUAGCAUGUCCUGCUCAGCUUUGGCUUCUGCCAUCAGCCUUUCCUGCUUGAAUUUGGCCUCUUGUUGGAUCCACUCCUGCUCUCGCCUGUAUUGUUCGUUGGCUUCUUGGAGAGCUCUCACAGUGUCCAUGAGCUGUUGUAGGGUGGGGGCGUCGUUCCCUUCAUAUCUUAGCGCUCUUUGCCUAGUGUUCCUCAUAUCGCUGGAAAACUCAAACACAACUAUGGAUGGGAUCAAUUUUUAUCGGGCCCCACGGUCAAAUGUUCUUGCCGGUUGACUCUAGUGACAAGCUCUAACUCUGGUCUAUCUCCUCUGGAAUCUGUUCUACGUCUUAUUGCACUGGAACGUGGCUCCAUUGAAAUAGAAGGGACUCCAUCUGUUUACAUGGGCACCCUUACUCAUGGUGCAACGUUAUAUUUCACUAUGAAUGCAACUUAACCACUACGUGCCGUAAAUGCACACUUAGGUUAAAAUAUAUUUACGUGACUUAACCACUACGUGCACUAACACGCACCCUUAGGUUAAGAAAUAUCUUUUACUAAUAACCUUAUCUUAGAGUAUCAAAAUAUUAUUUCAAUUAUUCUCCAACGGGCUUACUAGUAUAACUGGGCUAAACUCAUGACCCACCUUAUAGGCCCAAUAGACGAGCUGACCUACCUACACCGUGCACCGAGUUCCAAUCACUGAGCACUGAGCACUUUGUACAAUACAAUUAGUAUAUAUCAAUUUAAUUAGUUAUAAUACCUGCAAAAGACAUAUGCAUAGUUAAAACAAGUAAAGAAAAUUACCCUCACUAUAAUCGGUUUUGCUAAUCUAACUGGCCAAAGAAUAAAAUUCCAAGGGGCCUGUCCCAUUGUCUGAACCUCCUUAGUAGGCAUAAGGAUUCGAGAAACAACAUCUCGAACAUCUACAACCACCACUCUUAUCAUAUCAUCUGCAAUUGUUUGCUGGUGGAUGGUUGACCCUAACAUGUACAUUUUACCUAAGGCAACCGAAUAAUGUAAUUGAAAGAAAAUAAAUAAUAUAAUUAGAUUAAACAUAUAUGCAUCAAACAAUAUCUAUAAAAUAAAAAUUAGCUAAGGCCACUAAGCACUUAGAGGGAUCAUCAAUGUACAAUUCGCAAUCUGCAAGGAUAGUAGGACCAGCCUCCCCUGAUCCUUCAGGAGCAUCACAACUCCCCUUUGUACUUAUACGAAUAGGGGAAGGCUUUGAAGUGGUAGCAAAAGGUUCAACAAACAUGGAUGCUAACUUUGCUCGCAUGUCUAAUAACAACUUUGUCUUCAAUUCAGAGUAUACUUCCUUCUUAGUUUCCUUCCUAAUCUCUUCUUUGAGGGACUCCAUCUCGAUUUGACUAAGAUGUGAUUUACUAUAAUACCGAGGUGGAGGACCAAAGAAUUUCAGAUGCCUACCUCGUCCUGCAAAUUAUGUUUAUGUGCAGAUGGGUUUAAUCCUUUUGGUCAAUAUGGAAAAAGUUACUCUUAUUAGCUAGUUAUCCUAACCCCAUACAACUUUCGCCUUCCAUAUGCAUGAAGAGGGUGUUUAUGUUUUGACAGUCUUAUUUCCAAGUCCUUUAAAUCCAAAGCAUAAGAUUGAUGUGUUCUUGCAACCACUCAUAGAUGAGUUAUGCACCUUAAGGACGAAGGGAUAUUGACUUAUGACGUGUCACUAAGGCACACUUUUAUGAUGAAAGUUGCUUUGAUGUGGAGAAUUAAUGACUUAACAGCUUAUGGCAUGUUAUCGGGUUGGUUGGCUUCUGGUAGACUUGCUUGCCCUAUAUGUAUGGAAAGAACAAAGACAUUCUAUCUUAGUCAUAGCCACAAGAUAUCCUUUUUCGACUGUCAUCGUCAGUUUUUUUCACCUGAUAAUUCAUUUUGGAAGAAUAAAAAGGCAUUCAAGAAGAAGUUUGUUGAGAGUGAUCCCCCUUCUCCACGUUUGUCUACUCUUGACAUUUGGAAUAGGGUUGCACACUUACCAAUUUGCACUGAAUUACAAGAACAAAAAAAUAUUCUUGAAUAUGGUAUUAAACAUAAUUGGAAGAAACAAAGUAUAUUCUAGAGGUUGGCAUAUUGGAAAACUCAACUUUUACGUUACAAUAUUAAUGUUAUGCACACAGAGAGUGUUCAUGAUUGUGUUUGACACUGUGAUGGAUAUCAAAGGGAAAACUAAGGACACAAACAAGGCUCGAUUGGAUAUAGCACAAAUAUGAAAUUGAAAAGAGCUAGAGUUGAAAGACAUUGGUGGUGGCAAACUUAUCAAACCAAAAGCAACAUAUGCAUUUACCAAUUCCCAAGAGUCUUUAUUUGUAAAUAGGUUAAAGAACUUAAGUUUCCAUAUGGAUAUGAUUCCAAUUUGGGUAGAUGUGUUUACCUUAAUCAAGGCAAGUUAGAGGGCAUGAAAAGUUAUGAUUGUCACGUGUUCAUGCAACGAUUGCUUUCAAUUGCAUUUGACGCAUUACCAAAAUCAAUUUGGAAAGUUCUUAUUGAACUUAGUCUUUUCUUUAGAGGAUUAAGUUCGAAAACACUAAAUGUUGAACACCUAAGAGUUAUGGAAGAAAAUAUUCUUAUGUUAUUGUGUAAAUUGAAACAAAUAUUUCCACCAAGCUUCUUUGAUUCCAUGGAAUAUCUUUCAAUUCAUCUACCUUAUAAGGAAAAAGUUGGUAGUCCUGUCCAAUAUCGUUGGAUGUAUCCAUUUGAGAGGUAUAAAAUUACUAAUAACUUUUAUAACAUUUUUUGUUUAUUUAUUUAAUAUUUUAUAUUAUGUACACCCGUAUUCUUUUUUAGGUUUUUACACUCCCUAAAAAAGAAAGUAAAAAAUAAAGCUAGGGUGGAAGACUCUAUUUCUAAAGCUUACUUAGUGGAGGAAACAUAUACAUUUGCCUCAUUUUAUUAUCCUGAUCAUGUUGAAACAAGAAGGACUAGGAUCUUUCAUAAUCUUGAAGUAGGUGAGAGUUCUUCAUGUGCUCCUCCUAUUUCAAUUUUCAAUUAUUCAGGAAGAGAAAUUGGAAAAUGCAUGACAUAUUAUCUAAACCAAAGAGAUUUUGAUGCUUCUCAAUUGUAUGUGUUAGAAUUGUAGGCCUAAAACAAGAGGGGGGUGAAUUUUUUUAAAUUUUUUUUUUUCAAACUUUGAAGGUGUGGAGAAAGUUAAUGAAGAAUCAAAAACAAAGGAAUGAAAAUGCUCAAGUUACAAAACUGCUUUGUUGAUUUCCAGAAAAUCAAUCGAUUGUUUUUGCGAUUCAACCGGUUGUUUUUAUCAGCAGUUUAUAAAAACAACUAAAAGCAUAUAUAAUUGAGAUUAGGGAAAGAGAGAAUCACACAAACAAAUUUGUACUGGUUCACUUUUACACCAAGAGCUACAUCUAGUCCCUAGAAAUCACUAGGUAUUCCACUAUGUAAUCAACCACAGAUUACAACCCCACACACACACCAAAGAAGUGAUCUUGAACCCCUAAAAAACACAAACUUCCUUUAGCAAUACAACACACGACAAAUCAGAACACCCUCGACUCUGUGCAACACAAUUCUUUACAUAAAUACAAAGAUUAAAAGAAGAGGAAAGAGUACACCUGGAUCAAUUCACAAAAUAAAAAAAUGACUUAACACAUAAUAGUCUGAUGAGCAUAUAUUUAUUCACACUUAAUAGCUUUAAUCAUAGAUUAUUGGACUAUAAUAAUAAAUAAAUCUGUUGUUUUAAUUAAUAUUUGUACCGCCCUGGUAGUCGGAAGUGAUGACGUGGCAUCAAACUAUUGUAUAGGCGUGUUGAUGGGAUGCCUGGCUGGCAGAAGGGAAGGAAGUCGAGGGGCUCGUGUAGUCGCCAGUUAUUAAGUUGGCGUGCUCCGAUCUCCAGCACACCAGAACCGGCGGUCACCGGGUUGAAGAUGAAGUCGCCAGAUGUAAACCCAGGCGACCAAGUGAUUAGAGAUCGUCGAAACAAGGACAUCGCCGAAGAUGAAGGCAGAUAGACAUUUCCCAGCUGGCCAGAGGAUGAGGUCGGGGGACAGCUUACUUGAGCAUAUACGAUGAAACAGGCGGUGCAGAUCAUGAAGGCGGCCGGCGAGACCACAGGGAAGGUGUGUACGAAGGCACCCAAACUCGCCAUCCAGAAGAGAUCACGCUCCAAGGCAACUAUGCACUGAGUAGUAUCAUGCAUAAGUAACUUAGCCAAAAGAGAGUCAGAAGUAGCGCCCAAGUCAAGGAUGCUCCAGAUGAUGGCACGUGUACAGCUGGAUGCGAGCCACGUGUCCAGAUGUGUAACUGCCAGGAGAGAGAAAGUGUCCAGGUAUAUAAGAGUUUCCCAACGAACUUCUGAGGUACGCACGUUCAGAUUGUCUUCUUUACGCUUGCGAGUCUUGAGUAUACUGAGAGAGAACAUUGCACGGUUCCUUGAGAGUUCUUGAGUGUUACUCUUAGUAAUUGGUGGUUCAGUCGCUGACUUGGGCGUCGGAACGUGAUCGGCCGCAGCAACGCCGUUCUGUUCUUUUGCAGGUUCUUGAGGUGAAUCACGGUGAAAGACGGAGGCUGACACGGCGCACACGUCAAUCCAAGUUUGACGAGGCAAAGCUCCAGCGUUCUGGUCAACAGGCAGGAUCAUCAGGCGCCCACCGUGGGGCCGUGUAAACCUGUUCCCAUCCACAGCGCGAGUUCUUGGAGGUUUCUGCAGUUUCCGUGUGGUUGUGUGCUGGUGCAACCAUUGUCCGCUGUUCAUCUAGGUUUUGUUCGGUGAUUUCGCGUUUUCCACCGUUCGUUUGGAUUUUUGUUCGGUGAGGUGAACGUUCUUGCUGCUUACGCGAGUUUUGAUCGGUGAGAUCUGAGUUCUUUGGCUCGUUUGGUUUUUCGUGGGAGAAGCGUCAGUUUCUGGUGGAGUUGCAGGUUUUUGUGGAGGUUCGCUGUGUUCUUGAGGUUUCUUUCGGAGUUUCGCGAAAUUCUGACCGAUUGAUCGCUGAAUUGAUCGUCGCUGAAGAAGGUGUUGUUCAUUACUCUCUGUGAUUUGUCAAGUUUUCAUGAGAAAAAUGAGAAGCAACCGUUCAAGUCCAGUUGCGCCCGUUGCCGCUGAAGGCGCCAUGACUAUGGCGCAUAUGGUGGAAAUCAUGCAUUUGCUGCAGGCGAAUGUGGAAGCCUCGCAUAUAGAGCAGGCAAGAAUGCACGAGGACCUGGUCGCCUCUCGGGCCAGGAAUGACGAGCUUAGCAGAGUGACUGAAGAACUGCGUCAAGCUCUUCAAGAACAGCGAGGGCGUCCAGUCGCUGAAGAGGUCGCGCCGUCAACGCUGCCUCGCGUUUUACCUAUGCCUUUUGCUCAGGCGAUUACCGACACGCCUAUCCCUGCGAGUGUGGUACCUGUGAAGGCUAUUUUCACCGGCGUGGAGGAUCCUGAAGCUCAUCUCACCACGUUCCAUACGCAGAUGAUGUUGUCAGGAGGAUCAGACGUCGUGUACUGCAAGAUGUUUGUGAGCACACUCCAGGGAACGGUGCUGGAAUGGUUUGUGAGCCUGCCUACAGGUCACAUAACAAACUUCCAACAGUUUUCAAAGAUCUUUGUCGAGCAGUACAUCGUGAACAAGGCACCGCCCAGGGUGUCUUAUGACUUGUUCGACAUAAGGCAGUAUCAGGGAGAGUCCCUCGGGGACUACAUGAAUCGUUUUGGGGCGCAGAUGGUCCGAUCGCCGGCCAAAGAUGAAGAAAUGCUGGUCUACGCAUUUAAGAAGGGCGUGCUGCCGGGACCAUUCUGCGAAGCAUUGAUCAGGGCUCACCCUGCCACGUUUGCUGAGGUCAGGCGACUUGCGGUGGCCCACAUCGCCGAUGAGAGUGAGGUCCCCGAGAAGAGAGGAAGCGUGGCUCCCGCUAGGCCACGCGCCCAGACCAGGAUCCAGCCACAGAGGGUGUUGGAGACAGCGCCGGCUAGGAGGGAUCAGAGGACUCGCCAUCCUUACGAUCCAAGGAAGAACAAGGACAGGGGCCAAGGGCGCCCUCAACCAGCACGCCGGGAGUACAAUCGCCCGCCUAAGCACAAGUUUGUCAUGGGAUUGGCGGACCUGAUCGCCAUUCCCAAUAUAUCAGCUAGGUUGAAAGCGCCCGAGAAGGUGGGUGACAAGGUGCUGGGACCAAAGCCAGACGCCUGGUGUGAGUUCCACCAGGGCUUUGGCCACACCGUGGAUUCGUGCUUGGCUUUAGGAUACCAGCUCGACGAUUUGGUCAAGAGCGGGUUCCUAAACGACUACUUGCUGGACAGAAGGACGGGGGGCGCGUCGAGCUCCCAACCAGCAGGUGGUGAGGCUCAGCAGCACGGGAUGCCUACACACGGGGAAAUCCACACCAUUGCAGGGGGUUUCUCGGGUGGUGGAUGCACCGCGUCACAAAGGAAGAAGUACGCGAGGUCUGUGAUGACGGUGGAUAUGUUUGAAGACCACUCGCCGGAUGUGGACAUUACGUUCACAAAGCAAGAUCUUCGGGACGUUGUGCCUCAUGACAACGACCCCAUAGUCAUCUCGCUGAUCACAGCAGGAAGGAAGGUCCACAGGGUUCUGGUGGACCAAGGAAGCUCGACAGACGUGAUGUUCUGGCCGACUUUCACGCAGUUGGAGCUACCCCUUGACCAGCUGAGGCCCUAUGGAGGGUGUUUGUAUGGUUUCGCUGGUGACCAGGUGGAGGUCAGGGGGUACAUUGAGUUGAGGACUACGUUUACAGAUGAGGCGGGUUCGAGAACAGAGAAAAUCAAGUACCUUGUCGUAAAUGCUCCCUCAGCAUACAAUAUUCUGUUGGGAAGACCCACGCUCAACAGAAUAGGCGCUAUACCGUCGACCCGGCACAUGAAGGUGAAGCUGCCGUCUAUGGAGGGGGUGGUGAUCACCAUCAAGUCCGACCAGAAAGAAGCGAAGAAGUGCUAUGAGAAUAGCCUGAAGAACAAGAGGUCGGUGAGUUACGUGACAACCACCCCGCCUCCUGGUGUGAAGCCCAGACCGACGGUAAUGGAAGAGACCGCCGGAAGUGACGUGGUGAUGGCGGAUGCUGAGCUGGGGGAGGGGAACGCCGAUCUAGAGGAAGAAGAGGCAAGGAAUCGCCCUGAGGAAGCGAGGGAGCUGGGAAUCGCCAGGGCGGUGAUCGCCAGAGAAACCAGGCCAAAACCCGUCGAGCAGUGGCUCGAAAGAGAGAUUGGAGGAAAGAUCUUCAAGCUGGGAAGAUCUCUGGAGGUUGAGCUCUAGGACCAGAUCGCCAAGGUGAUAGAACGGCAUCUGGAUGCGUUUGCAUGGUCCGCUUCGGACAUGCCCGGGAUCGAUCCCGAUUUCCUGUGCCAUCAUUUGGCGAUGGACAAUCAGGUCAGACCGGUACGCCAGAGGAGAAGGAAGUUCAACGAGGAGAGGAGGCA
This 70221-nucleotide long non-coding RNA is filed under the name Phaseolus vulgaris (common bean). Its description in RNAcentral is "long non-coding RNA (PVUL_LNC002969)". Lineage: Eukaryota; Viridiplantae; Streptophyta; Magnoliopsida; Fabales; Fabaceae. The record is from RNAcentral.